GCGCGGGUUCUUCUAAGGGCGCGUACGGUGAUUCUCCGUUUGGGCGCUUGUACACGGUGAGCAAGUUUCACACGCUUCGGUUAUGUUAUUUUGCUUUCAAAAUCGAAAUUAGUUUAAUAUAUUCAUCGAAUCGAAUCGACAGGCCCUAGAUGGCUAUGGUCCGAACGCUGAUACUGGCUACGGUACGAACACUGAUGCUAGUAAUGAUGAUGAUCACACCCCUAUGUAGUUGUACAGUCUUUAUGGGGACAUAAGUGGUGACAGUGUACAGAUAUUCACGGAGGUACCUCCUGGUGUAAGUUUGGACAACCAUACAGACCGUCGUAUAUCUUUGGCAGUCCUUACUUGAUUCCUCCUUUCAAGAGUGUUAGGAUGUCAGGCGUCUACCAGCACUCAAAAUUACGGACUAUGAGUUUGAUGACAGAUCGAGUGUGGAUAUAAAUCCGUUUAGGGGACUAGAAGAUUCAAGGCUAUGUGAGGAGUUUGAUCAGUGGUUUGCCGGUAGAAUUUUCCUGGAUCGGCUCGUCCAACAGUCCCGAAAUUUCUUUGAAAUACUCGUGGGCAAUGCUUCGAUGGGGUGACUUAGUAACGAGGUAAGUGUGCUUAAUGGUCAACACAUUACAAUAUUGUUCAUCUUUUCGCUGGCCUAAAUUAUGUUCUAAAUUUACUUGGUUUAAUCCCUCCACAGCAUAUUCACACAUUUUACCUCUUGAUCAGUGAGAAGCAACGACAAUUUCCAAAUUCUACUGGUUCUGCAUAUGCCAUGACCAAUGAAUCUUUAGAGUAAUAAUCAGAGCAAAGACUUAUGUAAUCCACACGGACGAUCAGACAAGCAGCAAUUGCAUGCGCACAAACAAGCUGAUCGAGUUGGAACACUCUACAGGAGCAAGUUCUUUCAUAAAUGUCAACUAUCUCUUCCUUCAUACCACCACCCAAAACAUGAAAUCGAUGCUGAGACACUGGCCGAACGGUCAUUCUUUUGGCCAAAAUUCUCCUUUCGCCGACUAUUUCAUCUGCCCACGUCGUUAGACGAGUGCUCAUCGAUUCAGCCACAAUUUUCCUAUCAUAAAACCAUUGCUGUAAUGUUUUUCUAAAGUGAUCAACAAGAUGAGUAACAUGAAAUUUUCGCGGUUCCCUCAUUAAAGAAUUCACGCUUUCUGCAAUGUUGGUGGUAAGUAUGUUGUAUCUCCUACCUUCAAAUUCGGACCUUGCCCAAUUACACGUGCCCACAUUAUUCUCUAAGUAAUCAGCCGCGGCCGAGUGGAGCAUCCACAACCCUUCAAGUUGUCUUUUAAAUUCUUCGUGUCCAUAUGCCUUUGCUGCAUUAAUAAAAGCUGGCUCGAAUUGAUCCCAAAUAGCUUUGGACAUCCUGAAUUUAGACUUAAUGUUGCCUUUCACAUGGUAAAAACAAACUCCAUGACCAGCAGUGUGAAAUGCUUUUAAAACGGCUCGCUUGAUGGCAGUGCAUCGAUCAGAGAUAAAUACUAACUCUGGCCUAUCGCCAAUCACUCCGUGUAACUUCGUCAUAAACCAUUCCCAAGCAUCAUUGUUUUCUGAAUCCAUGACCCCAAUAGCUAACGGAUACAGUUGAUUAUUACCAUCCAGACAUAUUACUACAAACAUGCUUCCAUGAUAUAGCCCCUUCAAAUGAGUGCCAUCUACAGCAAUCACAGGCCUUAUGUACUGUGUGAAGCCCUUAAUGGAAGAUCCAAGCGCAACAAAGUAGUAUAAGAAAUUAUCAUCUCCAUCCCGCUGGAGGUGUGUCACUGUGCCAUCAUUCGCUUUGGUCAAAACGUGAGAGUAUUUGGGAAGUAAGUUGUAUGACUCUGCAGGGUUCCCUCGUACUAUUUCAAGACCGACUUCUUUAGCCCGAUAUGCUUGCUGAUAUGUUAACUGGACCCCGUAUUCUUGCUGCAUGUCUGCUCUAAUGUCAUUCGGCGUGUAUAUCCGUUUAUCCUGAAUAAAUUUAUCCGCGAUAAGAUGGCCAACAACCCGACUCCUAACUUGGCGGAGGCCACUAGGCAAAACCUCAUUAGAGCACGUAUGAACAUUGUCAACUCUUCUCACUACCCAAGGAACAUUAUGCUCAUCCGAACCUCUUGUUGCGCGAAGACGCCAAUUACAUGAUUCCGAAGAACAGUGAGCCUCAAAGCGUGUCGUUGUGGACCGUGCAAUCUUGAAAUCAAACUUUUCCCGCAAGGCCACUUUGCGCAAUUCCAGUAUUAACUCAUUCUUCUCAGCGAACAACUUUCCCACACCAAUGUCGGCAGAAUUACAGCUUCUAACUAAGUCUGGAGCAACCAAGUUUGAAGGCAAAACUGGAGCAAGACUUACCAGGGGAUCAACUGUUGUCCUCCUCCUCGAACGGGCCAUCGGAGGAAUAGGUCGAUUCUCUCUAUUGUUAACAGGAAUAUCAUACUGAUGCUCAUCCUCAUUAUUGAUAGGAAUAUCGGAAUGACCAGUGUCCCUAUCAUCAACUUCAGUAUUGGAGUUCAUGCCUUGCACAUUAUCAGCUUCUGUGUUGUUGGUGUUAUAACCAGGAUCAUCAUAACUGCGGAACUCAUUAUUUUGAAAUGGAGAGUAAUGUUGCCCUAACGAUGUCCCUAAUGGUAACACAUUAUCUUCAACAUCCGCUAUCGUAAUGCCAUUAUCAUCAAUAGUGUCAUUGUUUUCGUUGACUGGUGAGUAAUGUUGUUGGAACGACAUUUGUUGUGGUAACACCUCUUCCUCAAUAUCAGGGACAGACUCGUUUGCUCUAAACGAACUUUCACUUUCCACAAGUGGCUCAGGAUUUUCGGCCGGAACUCGAGGAUGUGUGGUGACAAAUAUAGGGAUGCAUCCAUAAUUGACCACAUCAGAGGCCAUGUGCAGCACAACAUUAACCAUUUCAUCAUUAAAUAUAUCCAUAGGUAGUGAACAUGCACGAUACAUUGUGUUACUAGAUCUCAAAGUUGUCUUCAUCGACAAACUAUAUUCAAUAGGAUUUAUCUGUAAAACUUCAUACACCCUUGCCAUAAAUUGCUCAAACGCACAAUCUUUCCGAACUAAAAAUGCUGUAUUCUUCGCAUUCACGUACUCCGUACGGCCAUCUGCUAAUGUCUCCCACCAACCGUCAUAACAUAAUUGAAAUACAACGGAAUCCAUUAAACCUAAAAAAAAAAACAAAAGAGAUAAGAUUUCACGCUACAAAACCUAGUAAAAAUGAAUAUGCAGUACAUUUAUGUGGAUGAAAUGAAAUAUACAAUUUUUGAUUUAUUUCGUCUCAUCGUAAGCUUCGAAAUGAUAUAUUAUACGCCUAAAACGGACACAUGUAGCCCAAGUUAUUACUUUCGGAAAAUAACUUUAAUUUAGUGAGACAGGCAGUGGGACAGGUGCCUGUCUCACAUAAAACCAGCAGAUUUAUGUGAGACAGGCGCCUGUCCCACUUGCCUGUCUCACAUAAAACCAGUGGUAACAAGUGAGACAGGCGCCUGUCCCACUUGCCUGUCUCACAUAAAACCAGUGGUAACAAGUGAGACAGGCGCCUGUCCCACUUGCCUGUCUCACAUAAAACCAGUGGUAACAAGUGAGACAGGCGCCUGUCCCACUUGCCUGUCUCACAUAAAACCAGUGGUAACAAGUGAGACAGGCGCCUUUGGAUUUAUUUCGUCUCAUUGUAAGCUUCGAAACGAUAUAUUAUACGCCUAAAACGGACACAUGUAGCCCAAAUUAUUACUUUCGGAAAAUUACUUAAAUUUAGUGAGACAGGUAGUGGGACAGGUGCCUGUCUCACAUAAGACCAGUAGAUUUAUGUGAGACAGGUGCCUGUCUCACUUGUUCUGGGCUUCUGUUUUACUCGAUUUUUCAAGGGUUUCAAUGAUUGAUUUUCAUUUCUCAACUUAAACUAACUUUAACAAGUCACAUUAUUUUGUUAAUGAAAAAUAACAACAUUUCCAAUAAAAACUCACUUCAAUUUUGAACUCAAAUGAUAAAAUCAAUAGAUUAAAAGUUUAGGUUAUGGUAAGAGUAUAAACUAACCUUAAGAAGCUCUCCAAUUGAUAAUUAUAUCUUCAAUUAUGUAAUGUUUGUUUGAUGAAAUAAAAUAUUUGUCCAAGUUCUUGUAGUUCACUAGUUCAUAAUCUUUGGGGCAGACUUGUCAAGUGGUCAUUUCCUUCCUUCUUUUGUAUUUUAGGCUCCCUCUGGUACUGGUGUCCUUCUUUCUUUUGUGUUUUAGGCUCCCUUUGGUACUGGUGUUGGUCGGGGUGAGCAUGUCGCGUUCGGUUUGGGAAAAUUAAGAUAAAUGAUGGAGCUAUUAGCAUCCCUUCCAAAAGUUUCAUAAAACCCAUUACUUGGCCACUUACCAUUUUGACCUUAAUUUCAAUUAUAUUAUAAAAAUAUAUAUCUCUAUUAAACUCACCUUAAUACUCUAAGGGCGAGUUUUAUCCUUUGAUUCUAAACAUAUAAUUUUUAUUUAAAAGUUAUAUUUAUCGAACACCGCUAACUUCAAUAAUAUCUUAUAUUAUUAUUACCUCCAUCAACGAACACCGCUAACUUUAUAUAAUAUCUUAUAUUAUUAUUACCUCCAGCAACAAACAGAGUCUCGACAGUAUAAAAGUACUAAAUUUGUAAAUAUAUAUGAGACAUAUAUCUAAUUGUAACUCAACCAAGUUAUUAAUUAAGUCUUGUUGACUAUUAUUUAAUAGCAUUACUUGGCCACUUACCAUUUUGACCUUAAUUUCAAUUAUAUUAUAAAAUAUAUAUAUCUUUAUUAAACUCACCUUAAUACUCUACGGACGAGUUUUAUCCUUUAAUUAUAAACACAUAAUAUUUAUAACUUUUAUUUAAAAGGUAUAUUUAUCGAACACCCCAAACUUCAUAUAAUAUCUUAUAUUAUUAUUAUCUCCAUCAACAAACAGAGUCUUGACAAUAUAGAAGUACUAAAUUUGUAAAUACAGACGAGACAUAUAUCUAAUUGUAACUCAACCAAGUUAUUAAUUCAGUCUUGUUGACUAUUAUUUAAUAGCAUUACUUGGCCACUUACCAUUUUGACCUUAAUUUAAAUUAUAUUAUAAAAAAUAUCUUUAUUAAACUCACCUUAAUACUAUAAGGAUGAGUUUUAUCCUUUGAUUAUAAACACAUAAUAUUCAUAACUUUUAUUUAAAAGUUAUAUUUAUCGACCACCACUAACUUCAUCUAAUAUCUUAUAUUAUUAUUACCUCCAUCAACAAACAAAGUCUCGAUAGUAUAGAAGUACUAAAUUUGUAAAUACAAACGAUAGAGACAUAUAUCUAAUUGUAACUCAACCAAGUUAUUAAUUAAGUCUUGUUGAUUAUUAUUUAAUAGCAUGAUUUGUGGUUGUGAUUUCCUAGUCUAAACUCUAUAAACCGUUGUCAAGCAGCGUGCUGUCUGGGUAAAAUUUAGUUAUUGCUUGACUUUGACAUUAACGCAUCCACAGAAUGAGAUGAAUUGAUGAUACCAACAAAUUUGAGCGUUCUAUUUUCCACAUAACAAGAUAGCAGAGUAGCACUCAAUCAAGUUAGCACUCAAUUCGGAAUUUGGGAUUCAGCUACCCCAAUUGAGCACGUUUCUAGAAAAACAGACAAAUAAAAUGAAAGUGGCAAUUUGGCAAUUAUUAUUUGUUACAGCUGACUAUAAAGAAUCAAAUGACAACAAUCUUUUAUGACUCUAAUUGAUUUUGGUCUAUUUUAUAUAACCCGGAUAUUUCUCAAUGAACAGAAUGAUAAUAUGUAAAAACUAAAUUAUGAAAAAAAAAAUGUUGAUCCUCUGCUAAUCUAUUUCCAAAACUUGCAACAGUCCCAUCGAGAGAGGGAUUAACAUGUCAUCAUGAUCAUAGAGUGGUGCAAUUCUUUUCCUAUUGCUGAAAGUUGAGAAAUUUUUUUUGUUAUUAUUACAUUUCGAUACCCUAAUUAAUCAUGUGAACACCAGUAAAUGUACCAUAUCAAUCAUCUGUUGAAGCAAGUAGUAUGAGGUUUGAAUCCACGCUCGCAUAAGUGGGAAGAGAAUUGAAUUGUUGUUAGUUUUUUUUUAAAAAAAAAAAAUUAUCCACCGUCAUCCGUUUUUUCCAACUUUUUUAAAAAUACAUAAUUCUUUUUUUUUUUUGAAUUCACCUGAAGUUACAUUUCUUUUCACUUUUUCACUUCUGUUUGGAAACCAUUAAGAAAACUAAUGAAAUAUUAUUUAAAUUAAUUUUUUACCCUCAAAUGUAAAAGAUAAAUUAUCCACCGAUCAUCUGUUUUUUCGUAUUUUUUCAAAAAUACGCAAUUCUUAUUAUUAUUAUUUUUUACUGAACUCCACUUGAAGUUAUAUUGUUUUGUACCUAUCCACAACUGUGUCGUUGUGAAAUGACAAUUUUACCCUUAUGAUGUUAGCAAAGUUAUAACGGUGUUAUAACGAGAGUGGACCAAUGAAAAAAAUAGUUAACUUCAGGUGGAGCGAUGCAAAAAAAAAAUUGUGUAUUUUUUAAAAAGGUAAGAAAACGGGUGGACGGUGGAUAAUUUCUCAAAAAAAAUUCGAACUGUAGAAGCCAUGACAAUCGAUGUGUUGAUGAACGUCCUUCUCAAGCUCAACAAGUUAUAUUACAAGGCAGCAUCAGCAUGCGUAGGCAUUGAUGCAUGCAUUUUUUUUUUUUAGCAUAUGUAACUGAUAAAUUAUAUCAAAUAGCACAUUAUUUUUUAUAGCACUUUAGAUCGGUAUAUAUCAUCUUAAACCAAACAACGUGGGUGAGAGCUCAAUGUCACGAACCACUCAAAUUCCAGGACAAAAAGACUAAAUGCACAAGCCAAGAUGUGCUAGCUUGGCUUGAUUCUAGAAGGUUCUAACUUUAGCAAACUCUAGCACUUUUUACACUUGUACAUAGAAAUUUCUAGAUCUUACAAGUAAUGAGGAAAUCCUCAAGCCUUGAGAACUUUUUGGACUUGGAACAUUCUAGAGCUAGGCAAAUCUUCCUAUAAACAAGGCACGACACUUAGCAUUUGUAUAGAUGCAUGAUCACGUCGAGUCGUCGACAAUACAAUUAAAAAUGGAGACUCGUUCCAUUUUCUAACACCAUAAUAAAAAAAACCAUGUUGUUGAGUAAUUAAAUGUCUACAAAUAUGAACACCACAAAUUAAUAUGGAGGUAGUUGCAGUAGGGCACAGCCGACGAGCCUAUAGAGAGCGACAUGCAUGCUCAAGAAAAUAAUUAACCUCAGCACUUUUCAAAGAACCCAGCAAGUUGUCAAUUGUUAUCCGUGUAAAAGAGUGUUUUCUCUCUUCCACUAUGGGUCAUGGUGAUUUUCCUCUAUAAAUGGUCUGGCAAGAAUUGGUGUUAGCAUAACACACCUUGCAAUUUCGUUUUUCUCCAUGGCUAAAUUCUUUUCCUCUCCCAAUACCUCUUCAACGGCUCCCGUCGUCUUGUUCGUUGUUGGGCUGCUAAUGGCUACCUUACACACAGCAAGUAUAUAUCUUAAUUUCUCGAGAAGUUAUCAAAACCUCUUUGUUGUUCGUAAAAAAAAUUAAUUAUUUUUUUUGCACGUUUCAAUUUCUAUCAAAAUCGCUUCUAGGAACUUGAUCAAGGGGUUUUUAAGCAAUUUUUUAGCUGAUCCUCUGUGAUCGAAUAUGAUUCUGUAGAAGAGAUAGUAAACUGAAAAUUUGAUUUUGGAAUUUAUCCAGUUCCUACAAUUUUUUUUUUUAAUCCAUCAAAACAAACCCAUACUUAUCUUUCAAUUUUCUGUGUUUUAAUAAUGCUUUACUUAUUACACAAUAUUUUUUUAAAACAUGGAGUUUUAAUUAGUGUUUUUACCACAUCAAGAAAAAAAUAAUGAAAGACAUAACACAAGUUAGGAUUUAACAUAACUUUUUUGGACAGAAUUUUUGAAAUAUAAGGUGCGAAAUGAUUACUUCACCGAAACCCAACGUACCCAUUUGAUCAUUUUGCGCUAUCCAUCUCUCUAUUCAUUAACUACUAUUUUAAGUUUUUAAUUUGUUCAUUAUCUAUGCAUUGCAUUUUACAGGUGCUCAAAUAGGUGUUUGCUAUGGAAUGAAAGCUAAAAUAUUACCAUCAAAACGAGAUGUCGUAGCUCUCUACAACCAAAACAACAUCAGAAGAAUGAGACUCUAUGAUCCAAACAUAGAGGCACUCGAAGCUCUCAGAGGCUCCAACAUUGAAGUCAUGCUGGGCCUUCCCAACGAGAACCUCCAAAGAAUCGCUUCCAAUCAAGCCGAAGCAAACACUUGGGUCCAAAACAACGUCCGAAAUUUUGCUAACAAUGUCAAGUUCAAAUACAUUGCUGUAGGAAAUGAAGCAAAACCUGGAGAUAACUUCGCUCAGUACCUUGUUCCCGCCAUGAGAAACAUACAAAACGCCAUCAACGGAGCCGGCCUUGGAAACCAAAUCAAGGUUUCCACUGCCAUCGAAACUGGAGCUCUUGGCGAAUCUUUCCCUCCGUCAAGAGGCUCAUUUAAACAAGAUUACAGACCCAUUCUUGAUCCCCUCAUUCGUUUCCUCAACGAAAACAGAUCCCCCUUGCUUCUCAACCUGUACCCUUACUUCGCAAUUGCUGGUAACCGCCAAAUAUCUCUGGAUUAUGCACUAUUUAGGUCACAACAGACGGUCGUUUCCGACGGAUCGUUAAGUUACCGAAGUCUUUUUGACGCCAUCUUGGAUGCUGUUUACGCCGCGCUGGAGAAAACCGGCGGGGGGUCUCUGGACAUCGUGAUAUCGGAGAGUGGGUGGCCGACGGCUGGUGGUGACGGGGCGUUGACGAAUGUUGAUAAUGCAAGGACUUAUAAUAAUAACUUGAUACAACAUGUGAAGCGAGGGUCACCAAAGAGGCCUGGAAGGCCUAUUGAGACUUACAUAUUUGCUAUGUUUGAUGAGAAUGGCAAAAUGGGACCUGAGAUUGAGAGGCAUUGGGGACUUUUUGCUCCAAAUAGGCAGCCUAAAUACCAGAUUAAUUUUAAUUAAUUAACUAAGCUAAAGCGACUGCAUGCACCAACAGGAUUCGAGGUAAUAUUUAUACUGGAAUAAAUUCUACUAUAUGUACUAGUGCAUAAGACUUUGUAUCACCACCUUGCAUGGGUGCAUGAGAGCAAAUUUCAUGAGCAAUAAUGUCAAUGUUUACUGUUUUGCAAAGCUUAAUUUAUAAUACUAUGUCCGAUCCUCAUUUGUGUACAACGUGUAGGACAAUUUAAAGGGAUGGUUGACGUUAAAUAACAAUAGGCUUAAAUUAAAACCAAAUGGUUAUCAUAUUGAAAACAAAACUGAAUUGAAUUUGAAAUUUUAGUUUGGUUCAGUGUAAAUUGAACUAUGUGUCCAGUCCUCUCUCUCUCUUUCUAAGAUUUGAAUUUAGAUGGCCAACUAGAAAUUAAAUCGUGUGAAAAUCAUUUGGUCAAGUCCCUAGCAAAGAGUUUUAUCCUGUAGUUGUUUUAUUAAAAACAUGAAAUAUAAUUGUUUGGUUAAGAACAUAUACAAUGCUUUUAAUUAUGGUAUAAAAGUAAAUCAUAAUUAUCGAAUUUUUGGAGCUUACAUUACCGCUACCGCUGUAUAACAUAGUCUAAUAUACAAGGAAAUAAUUUGUUGAAUAUAUCUAAUUAUAACACGAUCCAUUUUUCACUUGAGUCUUGUCGACUAAUACAUUAAUAAUAUGUUUUGUGCUUGUCAUCACUUGAUAAGAAUCAUACAAAGAUGAUGCAUAUACAGCAAGGAUCAAGAUCAUAAUGUGAUGCACAUGUGACAGCGAUAAGGACCAUAGUAAUAUACACACAUGGCAAGCAUCAAGAGCAUCAUGUGAUGCAUAGAUAGAAAGAAUCAAGACCAUUUAGACAUGCACAGAUGACAAUAAUCAAGACCAUUAUAUCAUACACAUAUGAAAAGUACCAAGAAUAAAAUUAAAUUUGAAAGCUGAAUUCCUCAUUUUCAAUUUUUGAUUAUUUUCCUUUAUGUUAUUUAAAAUCUUGUAUAAAUAAGCCUUUGAGCCAAUGAGAAUAAUAAGAGUGAAAUCUAUAUUUUCUCUUAAAAGUUUUCAAUCACCUUGUUUAAACUCUAGAAACCUUAUUCAAGCAGCCUGCUGACAGAGUGAAAUUUAGUUAUCGGUUGACUUGACAUUAACACAUAUGCAGAAGGUCGAUGAUGAUACCAACAAAAUUGAGUUUUCUAUUUUCCACAUAACAAGAUAACAAGUAGCAUUCAAUUGGAAUUCUGCUGCCUCAUUGAGCACGUAUCGAUAAAAAGAUUUAGAAUAUACAAAUACAAUAUUGAAAGUGGCAGUUUUGGCAUUAUUUGUUACAGCAGACAAAGACUUAGUUAACAUCUUCUUUCACUCCAAUUGAUUUUGGUCUAAUUUAUUGGUCCUGGCUAUUCCUCAAUGAAAAAUACAAUAUAUAAAAAUCAAAUUAUGAAAAAUAUAAUGUUUAUCCUCUGCUAAUCUAUUUCCAAAAAUUGCAGGAAUCCCAUCGGAUGGGCUAAAAGUACCAUAUCUUCUCAUAAAUUAACAUGUCAUCAUGACCAAAUAAAGGUGCAAUUCUUUUCCUAGUUUUAAAAGUUGAGAACUCUAAACUUUUUUAUUAUUAAUGCUGUUUGAGCAAGAGUAAGAAGCUUUAAUCCUUUCAGGUGAGUGGGUAGAAAAUUGAAUUGUCCUUAGGCUAACAUUUAAAAAAAAAUCAUAUUUGUAGAAGCCGUAACAAUAAAAUUUUGUUUCUAACGUCCUUCUCGAGCUCUACAAGUUAUUACAAGGCAGCAUCAGCAUGCAUAUGCAUGCAGGUUUUCUUGUGUAGCAUGUGCACCAGAUAAUUAAAUAUCAAUAAUUAAAAAUUAUUUUUUGAUAGCACUUUUGAUUGGUAUGAUCUUUAACCGAAAUGGAUCAAUUGAGUAAGGGCUCAUGCUCAUCAGCUCAUGCACAUGCAUGAAUGGCGACUUAAUUAAGCAACAAAUUAAUAUUAAAGCCACCAACAAGAUAUUUCUAAAUUGAGAACGUCUACAUAUUUUUGUAAUUUGUACAUGGAUCCUUUGAGUUAAAUGUUGUCACAUAUGCGUCGGCGUAUCUUCAAAAUAAGCAACCAUACGAUAAAGUAAAUUUAUACAGAAUGAUUAUAUAAGUAACACGUGACAUUAUACAAUAUUGGAUUUUUUCAUGACCACGUCGAUGAUAAAAUCUAAUCACGUCUUGCUCCACUUUUUAAUACCAGAUUAAAAAGAACCGCGUUGUUGAGUAAUUGAAUGUCAACAAAUAUGAACACCGCAAGUAUGGAGGAAAUUGCAGAAGGGCACAGCCAAUGAGACAAAAGAUAGCGACAUGCUCAAGAAAAUUAUUAACUUCAGUACUUUUCAAAGAACCCAAAAACAAACUGGUUGAGUACUUUGUUUCGAAAUACUUAAGAUGUCAACAUAUUAUCAACGUGGCAAUACACACACACACAUAUAUAUAUUUUUUCCUGCCAACAUGGUUCAUGGUUAUGGUUACUCUAUAAGAGGCUGCUUAGAAGAGGUGUUGGUAUCACAACUUUCCAUUUGCAUUUUUCUCUAUGGCUAAAUUCUUAUCCUCUCUCAAUACCCAUUCAAUGGUUUCCGUCGUCUUGCUACUGCUGGGGCUGCUAGUGGCUAUCCUAGACACUACAAGUAUGUGCGUGUGCAUAUAUUUCUCUAAGGAAAUGAUCCAAACCUCCUGUUGUUUGUAAAUUAAUCGUUUCCUCUAUGUUUCAAAAUCCAUCAAAACUGUCCACUGUUCACAGGGAUGAUCAAUUGAUUUUCAAGUAGUUUUCUCUCGCUAACCACCCAAGUUCGAAAAUUGGGAGAGAUUUUGGGGCUAAAAAAGUGUUUUCUAUUUUGCGCUCAAUUGACCCUUUUUUUCAAAGAAAAAAAAUCAUCACAAAUCCUUGUGGCUAAGAAAUUUCUGUUAACUUUCAAUUUUUGUAUCUUCUAGUAUUUUAUUCCUAAGACUUUUAUUGAUAAAUAAUGAGAUUUAAUGUUUUACUAGUAAAAGACACACAAGAAGUUGGAAUUUAAUAGAAAAUUUUAAAAGACGAGGGUUUUAAGUGCGAAAUGAUUAAUUUACUGAAUCCAACAUAGCGGUUUGCUCAUUUUCCCUAUCUAUCUUUCUCUAUGUAUUGAUAUUAUUCAUAACUAUAAGUUUUAAUUUGUUGAUUCUAUGUAUAUCAUUGCAGGUGCUCAAAUAGUUGUUUGCUAUGGAAUGUGUGGUAACAACUUACCAUCAAAACCAGAUGUCAUAGCUCUCUGCUACCAAAACAACAUCAGAAGAAUGAGAAUCUAUGAUCCAAACAGAGAGGCCCUCGAAGCUCUUAGAGGCUCCAACAUUGAAGUCAUGUUGGGCCUUCCCAACAACGACCUCCGAAGAAUCGCUUCCAAUCAAGCCGAAUCAAACACUUGGGUCCAAAACAACGUCCAAAAUUUUGCUAACAAUGUCAAGUUCAAGUACAUUGCUGUAGGAAAUGAAGCAAAACCGGGAGACGACUUCGCUUGGUAUCUUGUUCCCGCCAUGAGAAACAUACAAAACGCCAUUAAUGGAGCUAACCUUGGAAGCCAAAUUAAAGUUUCCACUGCCAUUGAAUCUAGAGCUCUUGAAGUAUCCUCUCUGCAGGAUCCUUUAGGCAAGACAACAGACAAAUUUUGGGUCCACUUAUUACUAUCCUCAACGAAAACAAAUCUUCGUUGCUUGUUAACUUGUACCCUUACUUCGCCAUCGCUGGUGACCGUCGAAUAUCUUUUGAUUAUGCACUAUUUAGUUGGAUGCUACUUAUGCUGCGUUGUGUUGAAUAUAUGCAACCAUUUUUACUUUGGUUAAAAAUGCAUGUGGCUAGCAUAGAAAGGUUGAAUAUGCCAUCAAGGUUAGCACCGAACCUUGAAAAUUUGAAAAGUGCCAAGACUUUUGCUUUGAAAAUGGCUAGCAUGCAUGGCAAGGUUCAACUAUAAAUAGAGGAGUAAUUGUUCAUUGAAGGCAUUCCAAAAUUUGAGAGAGUGACAAUUCAAUUGUAGAAUUAUUAAGAGAGUGAGUUAUUGGAGAGUGUGUAAUUAAGAGAUUUUUCCUUUUAAGUGUGUGAGAGUACUAGGUCUAUUUGGGUUUUGGAAAGUGAAGUUUCCUUUACUCAAAUAUUGUACUUCAAUAAUUGUUAGUGAUACAAUUAUUUUCUCUUCCUCCCGUAGACGUAGGCAUAUUGUCAAACCACGUUAAAUUUUGUGUUCUUCCUUUUUUUGUGAUUAUUUGGUGCGCUCGAUGCCACAUUCCGCGCACAAUAAGUGGUAUCAGAGCAGACAGUUCAUAAAUGAUAUUGUUCACGUAUACAAUAUUAUUCAUGUGCAGUAUUGUUUAUGAAUACGGUGGAGCUAGUAGUUCGUAUUUAGGAGGAUCAAUAUUUUGUGUAGUGUGGAUUUGUACAUGUUUAGUGCGUUUUUUCCAUACAUAUUGAUCUCUAAGGUAGGAAUAAUUUAUUGAGAAAAUGGUAGAAGGUGAAACUUACAGAACUGGGGAGAGAUCUACCCAAACUAUUCUAGGAGACACUACGGGUGGGAAGCGAGACUUGUCACAUCGCCAAUCAGCACCUGUUAUAGGAGAUCAAAAGAUCGAUGUUGAAAAUUUUGAUGGGAAAAUCAACUUCGGCAUAUGGAGGCGCGGAGUUAUGGAUGCUCUUAUUCAAAUCAAUCUCGAUGUUUUUCUGAAAAAUAAAAGAUACAUGUAUGACAAAGAAACUUGGGAUUGUAUGAAUGAAAAAGCUUGUGGUCAAAUCAGAUCUUUCUUGACCAAGGAAGUGAUAUAUUUAGCGAAAGAUAAGGAGCGUGUGAUGACUUUUUGGCGUGCAUUCGAGGAGAAGGACUUGUUGAAAGGUUUUAAAAAUUAUCUUCAUGCAAUGAGCCAAGUAUAUGACUUUCGAAUGAAGGCCGGGGUGUCAAUGAACGAUUAUGUCUCAAGAUUUGAGAAUGUGCUUAUAGAUUUGAAAAAUCUUGGUAAAGAUAAUAAGGAUGAAGUUAAGGGACGAUUCUACUACACUCACUUUCAAAAGAAUAUAGUCAUUUUGUGACCACUUUAUUAUAUGGGAAAAACAUGAUUAUCUUCAAGGAUGUUUGCACAGUAUUAACUAAUUUAAAAAUUCAAAAUAAAGAUAAGCGUUCUGAAAGAGCAUCAUCUGAAGCUUUGUCGGCCAGAGAAGGACGAUAGAGAAAAAGAAAAAUCGAGGUGAAAAGAAUUCUCGGUCCAAAUCGAGAAGCAGAAAUAUAGCUCAAGAUUAGUGUCUUUUUGUCAUGAGAGUGGCCAUUGAAAGAAAGAUUGUCCAAAGGCUCAGAAGAGAGGGAAGAAACCAGUAGCAAGAAAUAUGACAUGUAAAGAUGAAGACUCUGAUUAUUCGUUAAGUAUUACGCCAGCAGCAUACGUGGCUAAUUUGAGUGAGUGGAUACUUAAUACUGGAGUUAUCUACCAUUUGUGUCCUAUAAAGAAAUGAUUUAUAGAUUUCUGUGAUUUAGAAUCCAAUUUAGUUAUGAUAGGGAAUGAUCAACCUUGUCGCACAAUGGGGAUAAGAGCAAUUCGGCUCAAAAUGUUCGACGGAAUGGUCAGAGAACUGAAAGAAGUUAGAUAUGUUCCAACUCUGAAGAAGAAAUCAAAUUUCUGUAAGUGCUUUGGAGGCUAAAGGCUACAAGGUUACCAUUGAAGAUGGCAAAAUGAAGUUCACACAUAGGGUUAUAGUGAUUCUACAAGGGGUUUGAUGUCAUAAUUUAUACUAUUUGAAAGAAGGUAUAACCGAUGAGCUAAUGUUUGUGAUGGACACAGUAACACCACCAAGCUAUGGCAUGUACGACUAAGACAUGCUGGAGAAAAGUCUCUGCAAACUCUAAUGAAGCAUGAACUUUUGAAAGGUACCAACACCUGUAAAUUGAAAUUUGGUGAGUAUUGUGUUGUUGGCAAGAAAAUAAGGGUCAAGUUUGGUAUGACUAUUCACGAUACUCAUGAUAUCUUUAAAUAUGUUUACAAUGAUAUAUGGGGACCAGGAAAGACUGCAUUAAUUGGUGAAAGCCAUUAUUUUGUUUUAUUUGUUGAUUAUUUCUCUAGAUGUGAUUGGCUGUACACCAUGCGAGUAAAUGAUGAGAUUCUAGAGAUUUUCGUGAAAUGAGAGAAAUUUAUGGAGACUUAAACUAGCAGAAUGAUCAAAGUAUUACGUCCUCAUAAUUGGGGUGAAUAUACUUCUGAUCUAUUCUUGUAAGUAUACCAGAGUGAGGGUAUUAAAAGACAUUUCAUGGUGAGAUAUACUUUGCAACAGAACGAUGUGGCUGAGCGUAUGAAUCGUACUUUACUGGAGAAAGUACACUGUAUGUAUCUAAUACUGGUUUAGAUAAAAAGUUUUGGGCUAAGGUUUUGAGCUACGCAAAUCACUUGAUAAACAACUUGCCUUCUACUAUAAUUGGAGCUAAAACUCCUAUGGAAAAAUGAUAUGGAAAACAUGCACAAAACUAUGACUCCAUUCGUAUGUUUAGGAGUCCAACUUAUUAUCCUAUAAAGAAUGAUAAACUCGAUCCUCAUGCAAGAAAAGCUAUCUUUAUGAGAUUUAAAGGUGGAGUUAAAGGAUGCAAGUUAUGGGAUCUUGAAAAUAAAAAGUUUGUGUAUAGCAGAGAUGUCACUUUUGAUUAAGCCUCUAUGUUGAAGGUUUUAAGUUCUCAGUAGGUGGAGAACAAGACCAAUGAGACAUUACGGUGGGUGGAGUUUGAUAUAACUUUAUUUUUACUAGUUAGUUCUACAUAAGAGAAGAUUUCAACUUUAGAGGAGCCCAAGAGUAGAAGAAAAAGCUUUUUCUGUUGAUGUCCCACAAGAGGAAAAAACAACUGAAGAUAUAGAAGAUGAAAAUGACAGUAUAGCAAUAGGGAGACAAAAAAAAGUGAUAAAGAAAACCGAAUGUCUUACUAAAGACAUGGUGGUAUCCUAUGCACUUCCAGUUAUUGAUGAUGACAUCCCCAACUCUUUCAGUGAUGCUUUAUGCAGUACUAAAAGUGACCAAUGGAAGUUAGCUAUUGAAGAAGAAAUGAAGUCUCUUUAUCAAAAUUAGACUUGGGAACUUGUGGAGUUACCUAAGGGAAAAAGGGCUAUUGGCAAUAAAUGGGUCUACACCAAGAAGCAAGGUUCUCCAAAUUAAACAACUCCUCGAUACAAGGCAAGACUUAUAGCAAAAGGCUCUACUAAAAAGGAAAGUAUUGACUACAAUGAAGUGUUCUCUCCAGCUUUAAAGCAUACUUCCAUUCAUAUCCUAUUUGCCUUGGUAGCUGAAUAUGACUUAAAGUUUGCUCAACUAGAUAUUAAAACGUCAUUCUUACAUGGAGAUUUGGAGAAUGAAAUCUAUAUGACUCAGCCUUGUGGUUUCAAAAUUGCUAGAAAUGAGAAUUAUAUGUGCAAAUUAAUUAAAUCUUUGUAUGUAUUGAAACAAUCACCAAGACAAUAGUACAAGAGAUUUGAUCAAUUCAUACAAGGGUAAAAAUUUACCAGAAGUGAACUCGAUUACUGUGUUUACUUUAGAAGACUACAAGAUGGGACUUUCAUCUAUCUGUUACUCUAUGUCGAUAAUAUUCUUAUAACUUUGAAGAAUAGAUGUGAGAUUGAAAGGUUAAAGAAGCAGUUGACUUCUGAAUUUGAGAUGAAAGACUUGGGUGAUGCAUAGAGAAUACUUGGAAUGGAGAUGCGUGGAGACAAAAAGAAUGAGAGUGUAUGGUUAACGUAAAAGUCUUAUUUGAAGAUGCAAAAGAGUUUGGUAUAGAUGACAAAACUAAAACAGUUUCUACUCAUUUCAAAUUAAGCUCUUAUUCAUGUCGUACAUCUCAAGAGGAGCAUGACUACAUGGCUCGUGUUCCAUAUACUAGUGAUGUGGGUAGUCUUACGUAUGUUAUGGUGUGCUCAAGGCCGUGAGUAUAGCUAGUUAAUACAUCAUAAUCUAAACAAAAACCAUUGGCUUGCAAUGAAGUGAAUGCUCUGAUAUUUGUAUGGGACAGUCAAUAUUGGAUUAUUGUUAAAAAAAAAUUAUGGUCAAUAAUGUGUUAGGUAUUGCAAUUCUAAUUUUAGCGGAGACCUUGACAAGUAAAGAUCAACAACGGGCUAUGUAUUCACAUUGGGUGGAGGUUCGAUUAGUUGGAGGUUGAUUUUACAAUCAACAAUUGCUCUUUCCACUACGGAAGAAGAGUAUAUGGCAGCAACUGAUGCUGUAAAGGAAGCUAUUUGGUUUAAGGACUUGUUACGAUAUUUGGGAGUAAUCUAAGAGAAUAUUGAGGUCUUCUAUGAUAACCAAAGCGCGAUAUUCCUAGUAAAGAACCAAACAUAUCAUACUCGGACAAAGUACAUAGAUAUGAAAUAUCAUUAUGUGAGGGAGGUUAUCGAGAGCGAUGUUAUGUUGUUAAGAAAGAUUGAUACCAAAUAUAAUCCAUCAGAUAUGUUGUCAAAGGUGAUUUUGGGUACUUAGGCAAUCACAGCUAUGCAACCACUUUAGAGAUGAUGGAUCAUUAAUAGUCGGCUCAGAUUUGACAAAUCUGAGCUAAGGUAGAGAAUUGUUGAGCACAUGCAAUCUUUUUUACUUUAGUUAAAUAUACAUAUGGCUAGCAUAGAAAGGAUUAAUAUGCCACCAAGGUUGGCACCGAAUCUUGAAAAUUUGAAAAGUGCCAAGAAUUUUGCUUUGAAAAUGGCUAGCAUGCAUGGCAAGGUUUAGUUAUAAAUAGUGAAGCAAUCGUUCAUUGAAAGCAUCCCAAAAUUUGGGAGAGCAACAAUUCAAUUGUAAAAUUGUUAAGAGAGUGAGCAACUGGAGAGUGUGUAAUUGAGAGAUUUUUUCUUUCAAGUGUGUGAGAGUAUUGGUUGUAUUUGGGUUUUAGGAAGUGAGAUUUCCUUUACUCAAACAUUGUACUCUAAUAAUUAUUAGUGAUACAAUUAUUUUCUCUUGCUCCCGUAGACAUAAGCAUAUUGCCGAACCACAUUAAAUUUUGUGUCCUUUAUUUUUCUUAUGAUUAUUUGGUGCUCUUAAUUCCACAUUCCCCGUACAACAUGUUGGAGAAAGCGGUGGGGCUCGUUGGAUAUUGGGAUAUCAAAAAGAGAGGGGCCAACAGCAGGUUGUGACAGAGCAUUAAUUAAUGUGGAAAAUUGUUGGUUAAUUUUAAACUCAAUUGCUAUUGAUGCCAAUAUGCAAGUGUACAUAACAAGUAAUAAAGUGAUGAGUAUUUAAGAUCGUCUCCAUAGGGAUUGAUGUUACUAGAAAUACUACAGCAAUCACAAUAGUGCUAUCUACCUUUAUUUCAAGAUGAACAAAUUCAAAGUUGUUUGCUAUCGAAAUUAACAAUUGUAAGGAAAUAAAACAACUAACUGCAGUAAUAAAAUAAACUAAGUAAAUUUCUUAAAAGAAUCAAUUGAGAAUGAGGUAGUUGAAUGAUCAAACUCUCUUCAUGGGUUGACUGUUUUUCAUCAAAUUAAUACCAAUUGCUACAGCAAUUCCUACAGCACUAGGCAGAAUUAUUUUGCAUCCUCAACUGUCGCGUGUUGGACUUCUCAUACCUUUAAGUAUCUUAACAUCGACUAGUUGCUAUUCUACAUGAGGCAUGUCAUUGUGAACAUCCACUCUAUCAACCCUACAAGGUGAGUGCAUAUUUCUAGUUUUUCACAAAUCUUAACUUCAAGUAUAGCCCUUAUGGGAUUCAAGAUAAACUCAAUCCAGGAAACUCAAAUUAAGAUCAAGUAUUACUCCCGUAAUAUCCACUAAGACAUGCCAUUUUGCGGCUCUAUCUUAACUUGAAGCAUUAAAUGGGUGGCCAACCGAAAUAACAAUUAUAAUAAUAGCUACUGGAGUAAAAUGCUAUAACAAUCAUACAACAACUCAUAAGAACAGUCAAAAACCCAUUCAGAUUGUUUGUCACUCAACUAUAAGCAAGUUUAGUUCAUCUUUUGAAAAAGAGAAAUAAACAGCAAACUAAUGGUCACGAAAUACAUUGGUUCAAUCAAAGAGCAGAGAAGAGAACAAGUAAAGAAUGAUGGAGACUGAAUCCAAACAACUCUCUGGAUUCGUUACUGAUCCAGCAUCCGUUCCCUUGAAUUCUGAUUGUGUUCUUCUUGUCCUCUUGAUUUUUUCUAUGUUAAUUCCUUGCCGCCAUUUUAUGUGUUGCGCGCCUCUUUUUAUACUGAAAAUUAGGAUAAGCAUAAGCCUAGGGCGCGCAUGAGUCAGAUUAGGAAAAUGUAGAUAUCAAUUAUGCAAAUAUCUCGUGCUAAGAUUUCUCUAUCAUUGUUCCAGGAUUGCUACAGCAAUGGCUGCUCCAGCAACCAGUCUAGCACUGUACUGUUCCAUAUUUUAUUUUACUUCUUUUGUGCCAGCCUAUUGCUUCAACAUUCUUUUCCUGAAUCAUAAGCUUCUGAAAACCUACGAUUAUGCACACAAUUUGAUCACAAAUUAAAUUAAUCAAGCAAAACUUAUUAGGAUGAAACUAAAAUGAAUGUUUAUGCAAAAUGUAACAAAAAUGCAAUAAAAACACAUCAUUUGCUCUCUAAGUGAUCUCGAUUUAAGUUUAGAAUUGUCAUAAUAACUCUCAUUUUAUAGAGUUAUCAAUAAUGCAAGGACUUCUAAUAAUAACUUUAUACAGCAUGUGAAGUAAGGGUCACCAAAGAAGCCUAACAUACCUGUUAAGACUUACUUUUUUGCUAUGUUUGAUGAGAAGGAAAAACAGGGAGCUAAGAUUGAGAGGCAUUAGGGACGUUUUGCUCCAAACAAGCAGCCUAAAUACCAAAUUAACAAUUAACCAAAUCAGAGCAACUGCAUGCAACAGCAAAUUUAAAGUUAUAUUUGUAAUGCAAUAAAUUAUUGCACCAUAUGUAUUACAAAAUAAGAGUUUUUAUGAUCACCUUGCAUCUAUGCGUGAGGCCAAAUUUCCGUUAUCAAUAAUAUCAUAUUCUCUUUCAAUUUUUUGUAAUGUCAUGGAUUGUGGUAUUUAAUUAUAUAUCAUAUUCUCUUACAAUUUUUUUGCUUAGGUCAAUCAACAUGUAAUGUAAUUAUUCCUUGGCUUUUAUGUAAUGUAAAAACGCGCCCACAUCAUCACACAUGAACACUUGGGUAAACAAUUACAUUUCCCUUUUCUUCAAGGAAAUUUGACUGGAGCUUUCUGCGAAUAUAGUCUUAUUAAGACAAAAAGAUCAAAAUUAUGUGGCUGCAGUUUCUGCGUAUAAAAUACCAAUGAUCUUUUAGCAUGAUCUUGAUGACUUGUGUAAUUUUAUUUUUUACACCUCAAUUGUUAGGAUAUCAAUAUAUCUUUUAUACAUGCCAUUUACAUUCCUUCUAUUAAUUAUAUAUGUUGAAAGGCUUGUGUAGAGCUCACCUUUGUUGCUCUUUCUUAUAAGUUAUCACCUCUAUUAUGGAAAUAAGAAAAAUCUUUGAUGAAAACCAUCAUCUAUAAUCCAGGAACAUUCAUGUUGUAUCACCAAGAAUUAAUAACUAAAUUAUGCAGAAGUUUACCUAAAUCUAUAACCCUGACUUGCUCUAUGGGGUUGUGUGGUUGGCCUUCCAGAUAUUCACAUUCUCCUAGAGAGUCAUUUCUCUCUGAUGAUAAUGUCAAUAGAGAAUAGAAAGAUACGUGUAACCUGGGGACCAUAACCACUUAUAUAGACAACUUGUUCCUGUUGUCACUGGGUAUUCCUAAUUCUACCCAUUAUAGAAUUAGAAUACUAUUAGGUCUCACACAUUGAAGGCCCACACCCUAUUUUAUGCAUUAAAGCCCAUAAUACCGAAAAUCCAAAUAGAUAACUUUUAAUUGAGGUUAACCUUAUAUGAAAAUCUACAACACAUAAUUAUUUACAUAUAAGCCCAAUGUUGGAUUAAGGAUCCAACAAUAUUGGAUUAAAAAAUCUAACAAUCUCCCACUUGGGCCAUAUGUGUAACCUUAUAAUUAUAUUUUACAAAAAUAAUCAUAUGAGCUCAACCUUACUACCAUUACCAUAAUGUAUAUGUAACCAAUCCGGUCCAUCAAUCAUACCAACAUAGAAUUAAAUCGGCCUUCGCUACGAUUAUUGUAACUCGACUCAUCAAUGGUCGCUAUGCCAAUAAGACUAAAUGACAUGGGUCAUGAUGUGGAUGUGCAGCAUGGAAAUUUCAUGCAAUGUGAUCUUAAUGUGCCUAUUUCCAACUGGUUCACCUUAAACUUUACUAAGAUCAAACCAUACCAAAAUCAGAGUGUGAAUAAACUAAAACUUUAUUUCUGUAGAAAAUAACCUGAAAUAUCCAUAAACUAAAAUAACUAAAAAUGUCUAUAUUAUAAGAGCAUCUAAAAUCACAAAUUCCCACUAAAAUUGAUUAUCCUUUAACGACAUGACACCCAUAUGAGCAGUGUGCUCAUGAAACAUCUUGAGGGGCAAUCCCUUAGUAAACAGAUCCGCAAUCAUGGAGUCUAUGUCGAUGUGCUCAAUAGACAAUUGUCCACUCUGAACUUUUUCUUUAACAACUAGGAACUUGAUGUCUAUAUACUUUGACUUUGUUGAGCUCCUGUUGUUAUUGGAAUACAGCACUGCUGACUUAUUUUCACAAAAUAAUUUGAGUAGUCUAUCAACAUUAUCUACUAUAUGCCGCUGGUGACUUUGAUUAAACAAAUAUUUAUGAAUUGUGCUUUUAUAAUAAGAAAAUGAUGUUAUGGAAUUAAAGCAUUUAGGACUAAAAUGAAAGUAUUUUAAAAACUUUGAUAUUAUUUUUAAAUUUUAGAUUUAGACAUAUUUGAAACUAUUUAAAUAUUUUGGGUUAUUCUAUAAUUUCACAUAACUUAGGUGAAAUCAUAAUUUCAGAAAGUUUUGGGAUUGACAAAGCAUUAUUUAGAAAUUUUGAAAUUGGACCUAUUUGAAAGAUUUCAUAACAUUUUGGGCCAUAAAAUAGUUUUAUAAAGUUUUGAGGUCAAACUGUAGGAAGCGGCUAACCGGAUAUGGUAAGCGACAAUCCGGAUUUUGGGCAGUAAGCUUCUGAAGCAUAAGCGGUUAUCCGGAUUUCGCAAGCGACUAUCCAGAUUUCAAAAGCGGCUAACCAGAUAUGAAAAGCGGCAUGCCGGAUAUUCUGAAAUUCAAAUUUUUGCCUUAACAGUAACAUAAAAGCGGCUAACCAGAUUCCAUAAACGGUAAGCCGGUUAUGACCAAAAUGUGCAUAACGGCCAGUUUUUGGGGUCAAACUAUAUAAACUCAAAUCCAAUUCAUUUUCAAGCUCUCUAGCACGCAUAAACAAAAAACACACAAGAUAUCUUGAGCUCUCAAUUCGCAAAUCAUAAAACAUUGAAUCAUUUCUUGUUCUUCAUCUUGAAUAUCUACUCUUUGAGUGAGUUUUGUUGUAAUUUUUAUUUCUUCAUCUUAAUUGUAAGUGUUUGAGUGUGUGAGACACUUGAGUGAAGAGAUUGGGAGAUAAUCUCUUUGUUGUAAAGGUUCAUUGACACCUUGAAGUCAAUUGUAAACGUUUGAAGCCUUGGAAAGGCUUGGAUAGUGAAAUCCUCAAGCUUGGAUUGCUUGGAGGCGUGGACGUAGGCGGGGAUUGCCGAACCACGUAAAAAUUUGUUUGUUUAUUUCUCUUCUCCCUUGCUCAUUUGUUAUUGUGCUUUUAUUGAACUUAUUGCUUUCGAAUUUAUUAAGGCGUUAGAUUGGAUUAUUUUAAAAUACCAAUUCACCCCCCUCUUGGGUUGCACACUUAUAUUUCAGCAGCCCCGUGACAAAAUUUUGUAUCCAUAUUCCGUGAUUAAAUGCAUCAUAACAUUCUAUGAACUUUGUUGCCAUUAUAGAAGAGGAUAUAAAAGACUAUUUAGCAGUCUUCCAAGAGACAGCACCCCCAAAUAAUAGAUAGAUGUAACCCGAAGUGAAUUUCAUACUAUCUUAGCAUCCAAAAAAAUCAGAGUCAGUAAACCCAAUGAUUUCAAGUUGAUCUGACCUCUAAUAUGUGAGCUUGUAAUCUUUCGUUCUCUGUAAGUAUUGUAAGACCUGUUUAGUUGCUUUCCAAUAGUCUAUUCCUGAUUACUUAAAUAUCUUCUAAACAUCCCAAUGACAUACUCAAUAUCCGAUCACGUACAAACUUGAGCAUAUAUCAAACUUUCUACUGUUGACGCAUAAGGAAUCCUCUGCAUUUCCUUUUCCUCAAAAUCAUUCUUAGGGCACUGAUUGAGACUAAACUUGUCUUCGUUAGUCACAAGGGUAUCGCCUCGUUUGUAAUUUUGCAUGCCAUCAAUAUAGCUCUUCUAAGAUAAUCUAAGAAUACCCUAGGGGCGAUCCUAGUGUAUCAGUUUGCCUAAUACAAAAGAGGCGUCACCAAGAUCUUUCAUCUCAAAAUUCUUAGUUAGAAAUCUCUUGGUGUCGUGCAACAAGCCUAUAUCGCUACUGAUAAGCAAAACGUCAUCGAUAUAUAAAACUAGAAAAAUAUAUUUGUGUUGAGUGUUAGAAAAAGUAUAUUUAUAAAGGAGAAAAUCGUCAUUUUACACUUCAAGUUUUACUAACACCCUUACUUUUAUGUAUUUAAACUUCUUGUCAUUUAAUUAUGUGUGUUGUAUUAUAAUUAAGUAUUUUAUGUAUUUUAGGGGCAUCAUAGUCAUUUCACAAUAAACGAGAGAUCAGACGGCAAAACGGACAUCACUUUUGAACUCAGGACGGUCGAAAACCUUAGGAGGAGCAUAAAAGGAAAAAUGGCACUGUUCACAUGUACAGUACUAUUCACAUGUACAGUACUGUCUACGUUACUGUUCACGACACUGUUCACAUAGACGGAUCGAUGACGUGGUAUUGACCGAUGAUGUGGCAUUGACUGAUGAGAUGUCACGAUUAUGUUGGACUAAAAUUCUUAUGCACUGUUGAUCGAUGACGUGGCAGCACAUCAGUGGACCAAAAAUCUUGCGUACGGUACAUGCAUUACACAGGAUUAUUUUCAACCAAACCGCGUCACUGUUCAAGCCAGGUCAAACUGUGUUACUGUUCAAACCGCGUGGUCAAACCGUGUACUAUUGACCGAUGAUGUGGCGCAAUCCUGAGCGUCCGAAAUAUUUUUGAUCUGAUGGCCAUGAUUUACUCAAUGUAUUUAUAAAAAAGGGGCUCUCCCCCCUAAUUUGAUAUCUCUGAAUCCAUUUUUGGAUUCCAUUUUCUGUAAUUCCUUCUCCAUCUUGUAUUUUCUACGUAUUUUAAUAAAUUUUCAUUUUGCCCCUAGUUCAAUUAUGAGUAGCUAAUUUUCUUUCAUGCUUGGGUUGAAGGUGAAGCCUCAACAUGUGUCAUGGGCUUUAUUUGGUAAAUUUAUUUUCUCUUCCCCUCUAGUUUUUGUGGAUGUUUUGACUUCUCGUUGACAAAUAAUAAUAAGCUUAUCUAGAUACCGCCCUGGUUUCACCGGCUCCCUAGUACAAGGUUAUUAUUAUUUGGCACGAUAAGCCCUUAGCACCAUAUUGAUUAGAGUGUGGUUCAUGAGGUGUGAAUUCCCCCCUCAUGAUUUAAUUUGUAUUAAUAAGGAAUAUUUAGCCUAUGGUGCAUGUUGAUACGGAUCCAGAUACCCAAGUACGUCAUUUCAAUAGAUUUCUAUUCAAUUCAUUCUCACCAUUUAAAAUCUAAUUUUAGAAUAAUCUAAAGUCACUUUCACCACAAAUCCAACCACUCAUUUAAAAAAUUAAUUCUACACAUUUAAAAUCCACCUCCUCGUGGGAUCGACACUCGUCACCAUUGAUUUAUACUACAAUAGAUUCGUGCGCUUGCGAGUUCAAUAAAAUUUGCACAACAAUUUGCUCCUAUAGAACUUAUGGUAUAUGCAAUCAUCGACUAAAUUCAUCUCAAAACUGAAUGAGAUGAUCACUUGAUGAAGUUGAAAUACCAUUGUCGAGAUGCAUGUUUAAGCCCAUAGCUGAUUUCUUAAAUUUGUAAACUAUAUUCUUUGGGUCUCUGGAUAUAAAGUUUUCUGGUUGCACUAUAUAGAUUGUCUCAUCAAUGUCACCAUUGAGAAAUGUCGUCUUUACAUUCAUAUGAUGUUACACAAGAUUGAAAUACACCAUCAAUGCCAUUAUAAUCCUCAAAGAGUCUUUCAAAGAAACCGAAAAGAAAGUCUCUUUAUAGUCGAUGCCUUCUUUCUGUGUAAAGCCCUUGGCGACAAGACGCGCCUUGUACCUCUCCACAUUGCCUUUGGAAUUCCUCUUGGUCUUAAAUAUCUAUUUGAAACUAAUAGGUUUUGUACCUUCUGAUAAUGGGAUAAGAUCCUAAAUGUCAUUGUCCUUUAUGGACUUCAUCUCUUCAUUCAUGGCAUCAUGGCUUGACGGAAAUUAAUUGGAUCAUUUUCCAUCAUUUCAAUGUCUACCGCAUGUUCUUGGAGAAAUAUAAUGUAAUCAUCUGGCAAUGCACUUCUCCUUUCCUUAUAAAUCUCCUUAAUGGCAUAGGUUCUUGAGAUAGUAAAGUUUAGGAUUCUCUAAUAUUAUCCUGAUCUAUUAUGUUUUGAACAAAGUGAAGAAUGAGACCCCGAUCAAUGCAAAUAACACCUAUAGGAAUAUUAACAUAUUCCUCUUCAAAGACAAAGUCUCUAGUUGUAUCUCCCCCGCAAACUCGACAUCCUCAAAGAACCGAGCCAUUCCCAACUCGAAAAUCGACUUAGUCGUGGGAUCAUAAAAUUUGUACCCCCGGAUCGUUCUAAGUGCCCAAUAAAAUAUUAACUCACCAUUCUUGAGUCCAUUUUCUUCUCAUUAAGCCUAUAAAGCCUUGUCUUAACUGGACAUUCUCAAACAUGCAAGUGCUUUAAACUAGACUUCUUGCCUAUCUAAACCUGAUAAGGGGUUUUGGUAGUCUCCUUAAUUGGAAUUCAUUAUUUCGGUUGACCACCCAUUUAAUGACACUAGCUAAGAGAGAACUAUAAAAGGGUAUGUUUUAGUAAAAUAUAUCAGAGCAAUACUUGGUUCUAUACUGAAUUUCUUGGACUAAGUUUUACUUAAUUCCAAAACGGUCAUAUUUAAUCUAAGAUUAGUGAUGAACUAGACAUAGGGAUUCAUCUUGUAGGGUAAAUAGAACCUAAACGUGUAAUGUUAUAUCUUGUGUUGGCAUAACAAUUGGUCAUUGUUAGGUUGCAUAAAAAUACAAGAUAUCCAACAUGUGAUAGCUGAGGAUACAUAAGGAUUCUAUCAGUGCGGUAGCAAAUGCUACAACAACCGAACCGAAAAUUAGAAGAAAUAGUCAAGACCAUUAAGAGAGUUUAUUCCCAUUAGUUUCAUCUUUACGUGUGACGUGAUAAUUUACUUUACUGCAUUUUUAUUUGUUGCAUUUUUAUUUUAAUUGGCUUAUUAGUUUUAUUAAGUGUUUAAUUUUCAAUUAAAGUAAAAUUGCACUAUUAAGAUUGUUAUAGCAAAUCUAAUAACAUCAAUCCCUGUAGAGAUAAUCGCGAAUAAUUAUCAUUAUAUUACUUGUUGUGUACACUUGCACAUUGACACAUAUAACGUAAGAAAUCGCGCAACAGGAUUCUACUUAGGAUAUAUGCUGCAAUCUUAAGGGCUUCUCCCCAGAGUCAUUCUGGUAAGAUAGAAUGACAAAUCAUACUCCUCACCAUAUCUUUAAGCAUCAAGUUUUGUCUUUCAGCAACACCAUUCAUAGUGAGCAAACCCGGCAUAGCGUACUGUGGGACGAUAUCGCAUUCCUAUAGGAAUUUAGCAAAUGGUCUUGGACAUUGUUCACCUGAACCAUUAUAUUUGUACCACAGUCAGACCUGACGCUUUUGAUUCUUUUGAUGAUUUGGUUUUCAACUUCAACCUUAAAGAUUUUGAACAAAUCUAAGGACUGUGACUUUUCAUGGAGGAGAUAUAUGUAGUCAUAUCUACAAAAAUAGUCUAUGAACGUCAUAAAAUAUUUUUAACCAUUCCAAGCUACUAUAGGAAAUGGCCCACAAAUGUCUUUAUAAAUGAGUUUUAAGACGGCCAAAGUCCGUUGGCUUUAAAUAUCCUUUUAUUGGUUUGUUUCCCUUUGAUACAGUUAACACAUUUAUUAAAAUCUGUGAAAUCUAAGGGAUCAAAAAUUUCAUGUGGCACAAAUCUCUCUAUGGAAAUAUGACCCAAUCUCUUAUGUCAUAACACAGCUGAAUUCUCAUUGGUUAAUUUUCUCUUUAAACCUCGUGUACUUAAUUGCAAUGAUUCAUUAAAUGAAGCAAUCACAUCAAGCAUAUAAAGAUUACCACUUCCUGACAAAGAACCGGAAGUAACUAGUUUUGAAUCAUGAAACAAACUUAAUUUUUCGUUUCCAAAUGAACAAGAAUAAUCAUUUUUGCCCAAAACAAAAAUGAAAAUCAAGUUCUAUCUAAAAGACGGAACAAUAAAUGUUUCAUCAAGAUCCAAAUAAAAUUUGGUCUUUAAUAAUAAUCUAAAUUUUCUAAUUGCUUCAACUUCAAACUUCCUACCAUCACCCAGAUAGAUGCAUCUUUCACCAUCAUUGGGCUUUUGGCAAUUCAAGCAACCUUGCAUAGACACACUGAUGUGAGUGGUUGCACCAAAAUCUAUCCACCACGUGUAUCUAGGUACCAAAGUUAAAUUAACCUUAGAACAAACCCAACCAUGCCCUUUAAUUCCGUAAAAGAAACAAUUAGUAGCUUCUCGAUCAUCCAGUUUCUUUUGUUGUUUCUUUUUAGGUGUUGUAUCUGUAGCUUCCUUAUUCCCAUUCUUUUUUUUUAACCCUUAUCCUUGCCCUUAUUCUUUAUUGAAAUCAGAUUUGUCAAGAGUGUGCUCAUUUUUGCCUUUUCGUUCUUGACAAAUCAAUUUUCAAUUUCUAUAAGAAACUCUUUAAUCGUAGUUAUCCUUGCAGACAUAGAGUCCUGAAUGGUUCCAUAAUGACCUUACUCAUGAUCAUAAUACACGUGCGAUUUGAUCUCUCCUACCUUUCCAUAUCCCUUUUAUCAUUAAUGGUAUUUUCAUCCUUAAGAGGUGGGGGAGAAUCAACCCUUAACACAAGGUAAAAAUCCGUGACUGCCAGUACAAUUAAAAAGUUCGCUUCCCAUGAUUUGAAGUUGGAGCCAUUUAGCAUAGGAAUAAAAUUAAUGUUGGCAGUAAUAUUAGCAAUAGACAUAACUGAACGAAGAACAACAAACAAACCAAAUAGGCUUAUAUUAGUCUUAAAAAAAUUAAAUUUAAAUAAAGAUAUCUCAAGAUAUCGGGUACUUCAUUAAUAUUUCGUCUUUGGACAAAAUAUUAAUUCGUAAGUGAUAUCUUAAUGUAGUAAUCAAAUACUGAUAAUAAGAACAUGUCAAACAAUGAAUCUUUCUUUGGGCUUAUUUAUUGCUCACAUGUAAAACCGAAUAAUCAUUACAAUGUACAUGUAAUUCUAUUAAAUAUAGACCUUCCAGUGGGCCGAUCGAUAUUAACAUAAAUUAUUUGUACAAAACCAUUUAUAUUUAAAAAUAAAUUAAUUUUCAUAAGAGAGGUCACUUUGGUGACAUGUCGCUUCAAUUAAUUUAUCUCAAAAUGCAUAUAAACCUACCGAUAUUUGAAUUUAAAAUUGCACAAAAAAUUAUCUAAAAAAAUUUUUAAAAGUCAAAUUUUGGUCACCGGUCAAAGUCAACAUCAACGUUGACCUUUGACCAAUAAUCGUUUACUGGUACCCGAACCUCAUCCUGAACCAACCCACAAAUCAAACCAACUUUUUUUUUUUUCUCUCAAUGGGCUAAACGUAACAUUAAUUUUGAUAGGCUAAUAUCAACCAAACGUUAAUUUUAAUCCAUCAAGCCCAAUAUAUUAUGCCCAAAAUUUAGUUUCAAUAAGCCCAAACAAAUUUAGGGCUUAAAUGAGAAACUUCAUAACUAUUUUACUGUAAACGAAUGUUAUAAAACCUGAGGAACCUUCAUGAUAUAAACCAUAAAACCCUAAUUGCACUUUUGCAUUUUUCCUUCUCCUAGCUUAGGCGGCGGCCAUGGCAGCCGCUCUCACCUAAGCUGUCGCAGCCACCAGGCUGUGGCUUGCUUGAUGACGCGACCUGAUGAUCGCGCCAUUCCUAGCAAAAAAAAAGAACUUGACCACCAUCUCAUUUUUUUAUUUCCUUUUUUUAAUCUCUUUCUUCUUCCUUGAUGCGGCAGCCUUUUACCUUCUGCCGCUGCCGUCAACCACGACUCAACCUGACUAUCACCGCCCUGGCGUCGAUGCCGAUGGUGGCUGGGCUGCCGUCGGCUUUAAACCUUAAACCGAAUUUUUAAAAUUUGAAUUUUUUAAUUUUAAACUGUAAAUCUGAAUUUAAAAAAUUCUGGAAAAACAAUUGCAUAUUUGUUCUCAAAUUCAAUAAUUUUAAUAAUUCUAGUAUUAUUAAAUUCGAGAAUACCAAAGAUUUAAUAAAUAAUCAAAGAUAAAUUUGAUUCUCAAUGAUUCAAUAUAAAGAUGCUCUGAUACUAUUUGUUGGAAAUAAGAAAAACCUUUGGUAAAAAUCAUCACUUAUAGCCGAGGAACAUUCAUAUUAUAUUACUAAAAGUCAAUAACAAAAUUAUGCUGAAGUGUGCCUGAAUCCAUAAGGGUGAAUUGCUUUCUGGAGUUGUGUGGUUGGCCAUCCACAUCUACACGUUCUUCUAGAGAGUUCUUUAAUUCUCUCACGCUUUCUCUCUGAUGAUGGGAUAUCAAUAGAGAAUAGAUAGAUAUGUGUGACCUAGGGACUAUAACCACUUAUAUAAAUAAUCUUUUCCUAUUGUCACUGGAUAUUCCUAAAUCUGCCCAUCAUAGAAUUAGAAUAAUAUUAAGUUUUUACACAUUAAAGGCCCACACCCUAUUGAUACAUUAAAGCUCAUAAUACUGAAAAUCUAAAUAGAUUACUUUUAAUUGGGCUUGACAUUGAUAUUAACAUCCAUUUAUGCAGAAGGUCGAUGAUGACACCUAACAAAUUUGAGUGUUCUAUUUUCCACAAGACAUGAUAACAAGUCGCACUCAAUUGGGAUUGAGUUGCCAAACACUUGGCAUCUUCUUUAACUCCAAUUAAUUUUGGUCCAUUUUAUAUAUCCCGGAUAUUUCUCAAUGAAAAAUAAAAUAUAUAAAAAUAAAAUUAUGAAGAAUAAAUGUUUAUCCUCUCCAAAUCCCAUGGCUUUCAUAAACACUUCUUGUUUCAACAACAAUAAUAGAGAGAGCAUUUCUUUUAUGGAACUUAUUAAGAUAACAAAUCGAAAUUAAAUAGAGAAUGAAUGUCUUUAAGAUUGAACGAUUGUGUAUAUUGAAAGAGAAAUUACUGAUAGUAUUGAUCUAUAUCCAAUAAUUUUUUUUUUUUUUGAAGAAUCGCAGGAGACAACUUCAAUAGUGUUUUUCUAAUUUACAUCGUAUUUUUAUUAUUAUUGUUAUUACUCUUUUUUUUUUGCAUGCAUCUUACUUCAAUAAUUUCAUUUGUGUAGAAUAAAUAUCUUUAGGAUUAAGACUUAUUAUGUCCUUAAUUAGGUAUAUCUUUAAUUUCUUAUUAAUAAACUCUCUCUACAAUAGAAAAGCAUUUAAUUAGAAAAAAAAUUAGCCCACCCCAAAAAAAAGGUAGCUUGACUGUUGGGAAUUGAAAGGGGAAUCAGAAUGAUUAUUUGUGUUUACUUACUAAAAAUAUAAAAGAAUGAUAAUAGAUUUUGAAUGGGAUCAACAUAUUCGGGAAUGGAAAUUUCAUUUCCAUUUUCAUAGGGAAGUGAGAAUGAAAAUAGAUACUGGAAAUAGAAAAUGAAUUGACAUUGUUAACUUUAAAGAAAAUCAAAAUUUCUUUUUUUUUACCCUAUUUAAAUAUUAAAUAAUAAUUAUUAUUAUUACUAUAAUAUUAUUAUUAUUAUUAUUGCUACUACUACUACUUAUUGUACCUAAAAAAAGAUCGAUAUAUUAAUAUAGUGUUUACUUCCUGAAGUGGAUGUGAGGAGUUUAGAUUCCUCCACUCCAGUGUUUACCAAUUUUAAGGGAGAGUGGAAAUCUCACUCUAUGGGGCCUACCUUUUUUUGGAGUGGGGAGUGGAUUCUUUUUUACCCUUAUAUAUUUAAUAAAAUAAAAUAAAUAAUUUUUAAUAAUUUAAUAAAAUUAAAUUCAUAAUAUCUGCNNNNNNNNNNNNNNNNNNNNNNNNNNNNNNNNNNNNNNCAGUUAUUUGAAAAUAUAAUAUUAUUAUAUUUAUUUAAAAAUAAUAGUAUUAUACAUAUUUAAUAUUAGUAAUUAAUAAUAAUCAAUAUUUUAUUCUAAGAAAAUAUUAAUUUUGUAUUAUAUUAUUAAUAACAAUGUUUCAUUUGUGUUGCUCUUAAUAAUAAUUUCUUAUUUACAUAAUUAAAAUUAAAAUUAAAAUUACUAAAAAUUGUGAUUUAUGUAAUUAGGAAUAUUAAUAAUUAUUAUUAAUUUGCAAACAUAAUAAAAUAAAUAUUUUAUUUUUCAAAUAUAUUUUCUAAUAUUUUUGUACUUAAAAAGUACAAUUCUUUAAAUAAGGAUAAAACUGUAAUUUGAAAUUAUUUAUUCUCAAUUUAAGACUAUGUAAACAUAUAAAUUGGAUUCUGAUCUCAAUUCUAUGCUCCCAUCCUAAUGUAAGUAAACAACUUACUCUCGCUCCUACUCCACACUCUUAAUUCUAGGAUUUCAACUCCUCAGAAUUUCCGCUCCAAUCUAAAAUGUAAAUGCUAUCUAAAAUUAUGAAAAUAUGUAGUAGUGAAGUACGUUCUCAUUUUGGGAGUGUCUUGGUGGUUGUAAUAUAUUAAUUUGUUGUUUAAUUAAUUCGCCAUUCACGCAUGUCUAUGAGGAUGAGCACUUACCCUAUUGAUGUGUUUUAGGUUUAAGAUGAUUCUAACGAUCAAAAGUGCUAUGAAACAUAAAAAUAGUGAGUUUCCUUCUUUGGAUUUCAUAUAUGCAGUAACUGGAAUAAUUGGAAUUGAAAUGAUUAGCAUCAGUAUAAGUUGUUUAAUGGAGUUACAUGAACUGAAAUUGAAAUGAACUGUAUUUCUAUUAAUAUGUACUUACUUUGUCUUGUAAUUGAGAUUAAUUUUUUAAAUUAGUAAAUUGCCCUGAAUUAAAAUUAUGUCUUCAUUCCCUAAUAAAAUGAUAAGUAACACUAAUUUUGGAAUGAAAUAUAUGCACUUUUAUUAUAAUAGUAACCUUAAUAUUAUCAUUUUUUUAUAUAAAUUAGUUGUUAUAAAUGUAACCAACCAUACAAAUAACACAUAAAAUAAAGUACAUUAAUAAUACACGAAUGAGAUACAUAUAACAUGUAAAAUUAUAUAAUUGGAUAGUUGCAUGACCACGUCGAUGAUAAAAUCUAAUCAAGACUUGUUCCACUUUCUGACGCCAUAUUAAUAAAAGAAUAACCGUGUUGUAUACUUCGGGUAAUUAAUAUAAACACCGCAACUAUGGAUAGGAAAAAAUUGCAGCAUUAGGGCACGGGCAAAAGAUAGUGAUAUGCAGCAAGAAAUUAAAUUAGCCUCAGACUUUUUAAAUAACCGGGAAGACAAGCUGUCGAAUUAAUUUAUUUUAAAAUGUUCAAGUUUUAUUUAUUAUCAAUGAGGAAUUCUUUUAUUUUAUUUUAUUUUAUUUGGCUUUUUUUGCCUUCCAAUAUGCUUCAUAGACAUCGUCAUGAUUUUCCUCUAUGAAACGGCUGCUACGAAAUGUUGUUGGUAUAUCACACUUCUGCAUUUUCAUUUUUCUCCACGCAUGGCUAAAUUCUUUAACUCUCCCAAUACCCCUUCAAUGGCUUCCGUGAUCAUGUUACUUCUUGGACUGCUAAUGGCUACCUUACACACAAGAAGUAUGUACAUAUCUUUCUCGAGAAAAUGAUCAAAAUCUCCAUGUUCUUCAUCAAAAAUUAAUUAUUUCCUCCAUGCUGUAAACUUCAUCAAAACCAUACUUGACCGAAUUAUUGUUUUAAGUAGUUUGUUUUACUAACUACUCAGUUCGAAACCUAAAAGAGAUUUAUUAAUUUGACUUCUGUCCACCCCUCACAUUAAUUUUUUUUUUUUUUAAAAAAGAAAGACAUCAAAAUCAAUUUUGAGUUUUAGUGUUUUACCACAUCAUAAGUAGUUUGUAAAAUAGACAAAACAAGCUAAAAAUUAAUAGAAAUUUCUAAAAGACGGAUUUUGAACAUGAGGUGCCAAACGAUUAAUUUACUGAAAUCAACACCGUCUUUGAUCAUUUUCACCAUCUAUAUAUAUCUCUAUGAAUUAAUAUUAUUCAUAGACAUAUAAUGCAGGUGCUGAAAUAGGUGUUUGUUAUGGAAUGGUUGGUGACAACUUACCAUCAAAACCAGAUGUCAUAGCUCUUUACAACCAAAACAACAUCAGAAGAAUGAGACUUUAUGAUCCAAACAGAGAAGCACUCGAAGCUUUCCGUGGCUCCAACUUUGAAGUCAUGCCAGGCCUUCCUAACGAUGACCUUCGAAGAAUCUCUUCCACUCAAGCCGAAGCAAAUACCUGGGUCCAAGAGAACGUCCAAAAUUUUGUUAACAAUGUCAAGUUCAAAUGCAUUGCUGUAGGAAAUGAAGCAAAACCAGGAGACGACUUUGCGCAGUAUCUUGUACCCACCAUGAGAAACAUACAAAACGCCAUUGACGGAGCUAACCUUGGAAGCCAAAUCAAAGUUUCCACUGCAAUUGAAUUGGGAGUUCUUGAUGCAUUCUCUCCGCCGUCAGCUGGCUCCUUUAAGCAAUUCCUUCCUUAACGAAAACAAUUCUCGAUCCCCUCAUUACCUUCCUUAACAAAAACAAUUCCCCGUUGCUGGUGACUGUAAUAUAUCUCUUGAUUUUGCACUAUUUAGGGCAGAACAACCGGUUGUUUCUAACCCUCCGUUAAGUUACCUGAAUCUUUUUGAUGCCCAGUUUGAUGCUACUUAUGCUGCAUUGGAAAAGCCGGUGGGGGCUCGUUGGAUAUUGUGAUAUCGGAGAGUGGGUGGCCGGCGGCAGGUGGUGACGGAGCGUUAACGAACGUUGAUAAUGCAAAGACUUAUAAUAAUAACUUGAUACAGCAUGUGAAGCAAGGGUCACCAAAGAAGCCAAGGCCUAUUGAGACUUACAUUUUUGCUAUAUUUGAUGAGAAUGGAUAAAAAGGAAGAUGAGAUUAAGAGGCAUUGGGGACUUUUUGCUCCAGAUAAGCAGCCUAAAUACCAAGUUAAUUUUAAUUAAUUAACCAAAUCAGAGUAGCUUCAUGCGGCAGCAGAUUUGAAGUUAAAUUUCUAAUGCAAUAAAUUAUUGCACAAUAUGUAUUAGUAAUCAAGAGUUUGCAUCAUUACCUUGCAUCGGUGCACGAGGCCAAAUUUCAUUAUCAAUAAUGUCAUGGUUACGGUAUUUAAUUAUAUAUCACUGCCUCUUUCAAUUUUUGAAUAGCUUAAUUAACAUGCAAUGUAAUUUUUCCUUGGCCAUUGUGCAAUGUAAAAAUGCCCCAACAAUACCAAAUUAAUUUGAACUAGUAAGAACCCAACAAUGGAUUAAGCAAAAUUAAAGGGCACUUCCUUUUAAAUAUUUUAUGUAUGAAUCAAAACCAUGCACAGAUUUGAAUCUCAAACAUCCUGUAGCAGUCCAAGUCUCCAAGAGUCGAUAUUAAUUAGCUAGGAAGAAAAAAAGAACAGAGCAAUCCCACUUAGUUUAAUAUAUAAAUAAAUAAAGUUAACUAAAAAAGAUGGCUACAAAUUUUUUCCCUAGGUAUUGAACGCACAAAGACACGUGGCAGUAUCGGGAGCCCUUCAAAAAGUCAAAGUCAACGAAAUAAACGUGUCCAUAUGAGCUCAGUCAAUGAAAAAUUUUUAGAAUACUUCGUAUGUAUUACAUACUAAUUGAUGCAUGCAUGACGUGUAUAGUUGAAUUUAAUACAAUUACCACUUGCAUGAUAGUUUUUUAAAAUAACUACACACAUAUCAUGACAUUAUAUGUUUGUUGUAUGACUGAUAUGGUACCUCAAAUGUAUUCUAAAAUUUCUCCUGUCAAUAUGUAGUCCACGAAAGUUAACAUGGAGCUAUGAUCCGUUUUGAAAAGGCGCCGGAUCCGGGUUUGCCAAUUUCCCAACUCCCAAGCACAAAAAAGCUACCGGGCAAUUACAAAGUGAGCUCGUUUAACCAUUCAAUCCACUAUGGCCAAUGGGCCGUACCGGCACCAACUAUCGGCCCACAAGGGCUCGUGGGCCGGCACGGCACGGCCCACUAAAUUGGUGGGCCGUGCCGUGCCUACAUUUUUUUCAAUUGAGCCCGGCGGCCGUGCCCAAAAAAAGCCCACCAACAUUUUUUUUUUUAGCGUGCUUUAUUCAAGCCCACGUGUCUGACGUGUUUUUUUAAGCCCACCAACAUAAUAAUAAUAAUAAUAAUAAUAAUAAUAUUCACAAUCAUAAUCAUAUUAAUUUUUAUUAAGAGAGCAAUUAACAUUUUAUUAUUAGUUUAUCAAUUUUGGCCCACGUGUUAUUAAUGGUUCACGGGCCGCGUGCUAGCCCACUAAUGAACCGUGCUUAUUACGUGCUUUUUCGUGUGCCGUGCUUUGGCCAAUCUCUAAUCGUGCCGUGAUUUAAGGCCCGCGUGCCUAAAAUUCUAGGCCCGGCACGGCCCACGUGCGUGCCGUGCCUCGUGCCUCACCGAAACGUGCUCGUGCCGUGCAGUACGUGCCCGUGCCGUGCCACGUGCCGCCCGGCCCAUUGGCCACCUUUACAUUCAAUCACCAUGCGGUCUGAAAAGUCAACGAGCUUAAAUCAUAACAACGUACGUUGGACUGCACUGAAUUGAAAUAUCUCUUUAAUCUAUUAAAGGUCACGUCCAAUUUAAACCCGAUCACAGGUCACAUCCCACCCAAAUUGGCUUAGCACUGGUUUGGAAUCGGCCUGAUUUGCCACUUGUUGAAACUUUUAACACCCUUCUAAAGUCCUUAUAACACCCCAUUCCAAAUUUAUUUUUUAAAAAAACCUAGCUUUAAAUGUUUAAAGAAUAAUAAUAUAGCCGCAAACUAUUGUACAAAUUUAUUUUAUACAAAUUGAUGUGGCAUGAUAAAAUUAAUUGAAUUAAAUAUCUUUUGGCUCACAUAAUUUAUUUCUAUUAUUUUAUACUUUUAUUCAAUUAAUGAAUUAAUGCCAUAUCAGUUUGUAUAAGAUAAGUUUGUACAAGAGUUUAUGGUUGUAUCAUCACUCAUGUUUAAAACCCAAAAUUAAAACCAACCAUCAUGCUGUACUAAAAAAAAAAAAAUCAACCAUCAUGAUAUAAAAAUUCACCCUAAUAAAAAUAUUUCUUUUACCCUUUCAUAGUUACAUAGUCUUUAAUGUUUCUCAUAUUAUAUAAUAUAAAGGUAGAGUUAUUUUCACUCUAAAAAUUAGUCUGAAUAUUUUAUUAUUUUGAACACUCAUCUACAUAUUUUUUUUAAAUAAUUUUAUUUUUUACACUAUGUCAAACCUUUUAAACUAAUUAUCAUUUAUUUACUAUAUACACCUAUAAAAAAUACUCAAUUCACUAAAAGAAAAAAAAAAUAAGAAGAAGAAGACAUCUUCAAUUCUUUUUGUAGAAAAUAUUUCAUGUACUUAAUCAAAUCCAUCAAGUUCGAAAAACAAAACUCAUUUUCUUGAACAAGCAAAGAAGAAAUAAUUUAAAUUUCAAACUUAUUAUUUAUCUAACCAUGACACAGCUUCAAUUUUAAAAAUUAGCCGUGAAAUCAAGCUGCAAAUUAAGUGAAGUAGAAGCUCUAUGUGAAAGUGCCUUAAAAAUAUUACUUAAAUAGAAGAAGCAUAAAUGCAUGAGAUGAAACCAAUUAUAGGAAGAAAUCAUUAAAGUUAACGAAUCAUCACCAGAUUUUGCCAACGUAACAGCAGAUUGCUAGAUGUCAUGAAGCUGAAAAUUGAUUGGAGUAAUUAAUAAAAGUUUGUUUGCUAAAUCAAAAUGGUUCGUAAUAGCUUCUUUGCAAAUAUUUGUAAAAGUUUUAGGGUAAAAGGUAGAUUAUUGUUUAUAUAUUCAAAGAUCGAGUUUACUAAUUAUAUGAGCGUUUAAAGUAAUUAUGUUUGAUUUACUUAAAGUAGAUUAAUAAUAAAUCAUAUCAUAAGUAUUUUUAUAUUGAAUUAUUUUAUUAAAAUAAGAGUGUUCAAAAUCAAUUUUAGAGUGUAAAGCAUCCUGCUCAUUGUACAGUUAAGAGCAAUAAUACCUAUAAAAAAAAAAUAGAAAACUAGUUGGUAUUAUAGUUUUUUCUUUUAUUGGGACCUCACAAGUGAGAGUAAAUAAAAUUAAAGAAAAAAUGAUAUUACAAUCAAGGUGGACACCAAAACCUUAUUCAAAAAUAAAAUAUGAAAAAUAGUGACCGCAGAAAAAUAAACUUUAAGUUGGAGUUUUUCCAACGUAGUUAGAAUUUAAUUGUAUUUAUCUUCAUACAUAGUCUUUCGAUAUACUUUACUUAAUCUGGCUGGUUUGGAAGCGAGGAAUCGAUGAUUCAAAUUUUGAAGUGAUGGAAUCUCAAAAGAAUAAUGAUAUUUACACAUGAUACUGCCCAUAAAAUUGCACAGAAUCAUUAAAAAUAACGAAUGACAGAUUCAUUCACUUUAUAAAUUUUAUUUUUAUAUACAGGUAUCCUCAUUUUAUCUGCGAUAUAUAAUUUUGUGAGAGAAUGUCAAGUACAAAUAUCAUUUUCCAUUUCAGAAACAAAAUUUGGGGCAGUGGAGAUCAAAUUAAUCUAGCGUCGUUGGCGCUGACACUAUAUAUAUAGUGCUAGAUAUAAUUUAGGGCAUUGUCCAUCAUUUCAACAACUUAACGCUACAGCCCAUUUAAUUUAUUUAUGUUUAUACCCGACCGGUGUAUGAAUUGUUUUACUAGUGCACCUGAAGCAUCCGCAUAGCAGCAGUGCCAGCCAUUCACAAUUAUUAUAAUGUACUUAACUGCAAUCAUUGGCUAAUCAGUGAGCCAUUGGACCCGCGCAAGCUCCCACGUUAUGUUGCUGUAGUAGUGGCCCAUGUGCCACAAUAUUGUAUGGGUUAUAAUUGAAAUUUAAAUAAUAAAAUAAAUAACGGACUGAAAUUUUAUUGAUCAAUUGAAAAAAUUUAAAUGUCCAUUUCGAUAGAAAGUGAGAAUAAAAUUUUUAUUGAAAUUGAUUCUCUCUCCACUGUAUAUCAAGUUAAUUUUUUAUUUAUUAGAAAAGUGAGUCAUUUUAAAAGAAUUAAGAGAAAGAAAUCAAUGUUGUUAAAUAUUUAAUUAUUAUGGUGAAACUUGAUAAAAAUUUUGUUAUGGAUCAAAGUAUGUUUUCUUUCAAUUAUAAUGAUGUGAAAAUCAUAAUUUAAGAAUUAAAGUUUAUGUAAAUUAAGAUUUUCUUGCUCAUGAAAAUUAUAAAAAAGAAGAAAAGAAAAAGAACAAGACAUCCUUUUUGUAGAAAAUAUUUUAUGUACUUAAUCAAAUCCAUCAAGUUCGAAAAAAGAAACUCAUUUUCUUGAACAAACAAAGAAGAAAAUUUCAAACUUAUUAUUUAUCUAGCCCUGACACAGCUUCAAUUUUAGAAACUAGUCGUGAAAUCAAGCUGCAAGUUAAGUGAAGUAGAAGCUCUAUGUGAAAGUGCCAUAAAAAUAUUACUUAAAUAGAAGAAGCAUAGGAAGAAAUCAUUAAAGUUAACGAUUCAGCACCCGAUUUGGCCAACGUAAUAGCAGAUUGCUAGAUGUCAUUAAGCUGAAAAUUGAUUGGAGUAAUUAAUAAAAGUUUAUUUACUGAAUCAAAAGGGUACGUAAUAUCUUGUUUGCAAAUAUUUGUAAAAGUUUUAGGGUUUAAGAUAGAAGAUUGUUUAUAUAUUCAAAGAUCGAAUUUACUAAUUAUAUGAGCGUUUAAAAUAAUUAUGUUUUAUUUACUUAAAGUAGACUAGUAAUAAAUCAUAUCAUGAGUAUUUUUGUAUUAAAUAAUUUUAUUAAAAAAUAAUUUUUUAAAAGAAAUUAACCAUGGCAAAUUACGGAAAACUUUAUUUAUAUAAAAAGCAAAAAAAAAGCCAAUACAAAUCAGGUGGACGAAAUAAACCUUACCUCCAAAAGAAUGCCCGGUGGUAAAAUAAAAAAGAUUCAAGGCUCUGUGAAAGAGGCAACCAAAAAAGAUAAAUGAGAACCGAAAGCAAACAAGAAAAAAGCCUAUAAAAUCUAUAGUUGGGGGAAACCAUUAGCAUAUUUAUUAAUAAAGCUUCCAAUCUCCGAUAGCGGUGAGCUCCACGAGCUAAAUUACGACAAACCGACAACUAAAUUAGCCAAAGUGAUUGCUACAUUAUUGUUCUAUCUGUAGAUGAAGGAAAAAUAAAAAUUCAUACCCUACUGUCAUGCAAAAAGCUUACGACAAUUGUAUCAUCGUUUGCAAUGAGUCCAACGUUUUAAUAGUUUCUUUUUCUAAAUAACAUUAUUUCAAUAAUUUAAUGCUACAUCAAAAUUAAUUUAUGUUCAUACUCGACUACUGUAUGAAUUAUUUUAUAUUUAAUUUUUAUAAAAUUGAUGCAACGUAGCAAACGAUAAUACUAUACUUAGUUUGAAUACCAACUGAUGCAGUAUUUCUUAAUUGGCUCAAACGAUGGUCAUAAAGUCUAUCCCACGUAAUAAAGUACGAAGCGAGGGAAACUUUAUUUGCAUAAAAAAACAAAGCCAACACAAGUCAAGGGACGUAAUAAAGUAACUUACUCAUCUACAUUCGAAAAGAAUCAACAAAAAGAUAGAUGAAAGCCAAUAGUAAAAAUGAAUAAAAUCAGUGAGAUAUUUAGAAAUAAGAUUUUGAAUCUCCAUCGGUGGUGAGUUCUACCAGCUAAAUGAUGACAACCAACACCGAAAUCAGCCAAAACGUCUGCCAGAUAGACAAUAUAGAAAUGCGAAUGCUCAAGUUAAAGACCAAUUUAUACAAGAAGGCUCUGAGGAUUUUUUUCCCCCAUAUUUUGCAAAACUAUGAUGGCCAUGAUAUUUACCAUAUUUUCAUGAAAUAAUGGCAAAGAUCUUGGCUCAUAAUUGACUUAAUUGAAAAGCUUCAAAAUCAUAUCUCAAGGAUCCUUAUGUGAUCCUCCUAGUUUUUUCAAAUGCACCUGAAGCAUCGGCAUGGCAGUAGUGGCCACCCAUUCACAAUUAUUAUCAUGUACAUAACUACAAUUAUUGCUUAAUCAGUCAGCCAUCGGUCCCAUGCAAGCUCUCACGUUAUUUACGUAAUUGAACUAUAGACCUUAAUCCGUCUUCUACCACUCAACAAUCAAGCAUCAGCCGUCGAUCCCUCAUCCACUAACCCCGUUGCCACCGAUGGCUACUUGAAUUUAUAUGUAUUUUCAAAUUAUAAACAAUGGCCAAUCAUAUAUUAUAUAGCUUCAUGUCGGCUACCCGUGUAUAUAUUGUGUUAUACCACACCGGAAGCAACCACAAUCAAAAGACUAGCAAACGCUCCUUAAUUACUUGUGCAGAAGCUAGCAGAGAUAUUUUCUGAUUUGAAGAACAUGGAGACUGUUUAUGCAGGUAAUUCAUCAGGCCAUAUUAAGUUGAAUUCCAUUUAUAAUUCUUACAUUAAUAUAUGCCGUUACGAACAGGUUUUCUGAUUUGAAAUUUUCAGCCAAUAAGGAAUGGUUGGAGGCUAGCAUCGCUCCAUUUCAUGGCUGUAUGAUUGAUGAUGGGAUUGGAAAUAACAAUCUUGAUCUCCUUGUAGCCCCUCAAUAUGGAAGAAACCCUGAUGAAUCUGGUUAAGUGCAGUGUUAAAGUAAAAGGAUGUCAUGGGCACCAUAGCCAGUAAAUUGUGUGAGUGCAUUUCGGUUUGCUUCAUUCCGAAUAAUAAGAUCUCUUAGAAUAUAUAAGAGAUUUUCUUGUUCACAUCUAUGAACUUUGUUUUCUUUGAACUAAAUAAAUAAAACUGCUGUGUGUCAGUUUGUUAUUCAAAUUAAUCAGGAUUAUGCUCUCUCUUCUUAAAUACCUUUUGCUACAAACUGCAUUUACUAAUUUAAAUAGUGUUAGUGAUUCCUCCAAUGAUGCAGUUUCUUCACUCUCAAUCAAUAAAAAAAAUGAGAUUGGUACUAACCUUGCUUCCAGUUUCAACUGGCGGUGAGCUCCAUCAGCUAAAUUGUGACAAUUGAUACUAAAAUCAGCCAAAGUGACUACUACAUUACUGUUCUCUCGGUAUGUGAGGGAAAAAAAAUUAAAAACUCAUUAAAAAGUUAUACCCUACUAUCGUGCAAAACAAUUAUGACAAUUGUAUCACUGACUGCAAGGAGUCCAUCAUUUCAAUAAUUUCUUUUUCUGAAAAAUGCCAUUUCUAUAAUUUAAUGCUACAGCCAAAUAAUUUAUGUUUAUCCUUGAUUGGUACAUGAAUUAUUUUAUUGGUGGGAUUAUUUGUAUUUGAAAAAUUAUUUGAAAAAUUCAAUUUUUUUUAAAAAGUUAAAUUCUUUGAAUUGCUUAAGAUUGAUUACAGCGAGACUACAAGUGAUAGAGAACAAAUCUCUUUUUACCAAGAAUCCUAACUCUCAGUAGUAGCCACUAAACUCAAUCGAAAAGAAUGCUCCGUGAUCAGCCUCUCCUUUGUGUUUUAUACAACUCCUGGUCAUAACAAAUUUACCACAUACUGGCACACAAUAAGCUGACUCACCAUGCCACAUCAUCAGUAACUAAAUAGAAUGUAACUAACUUUCAGCUUCACAAAUUUCCACCUUAGUUCAUUCUGAAACAGCUUCACCUACCUCUUCAGCAACUACUAACUCGGUUUACAAGCUAUCAACACCAAUCAAGUUCAGAGAGUUUGUAAACUUGACUGCAUGGACUGCUUUAGUUAAAAUAUAUGCUGGAUUAGUCUGAGUAGGAACCUUGACAACAUUAACUACAUCAUUUGUAAUUUCAUCCCUGACAAAAUGCAACCUAACAUCAAUGUGUUUUGUCCUUUCAUGAUAUUUAGGAUUCUUACUGAGCUGAAUUGCACUGGAGCUGUCACAACCAAUGCAAACCGAAUCCUGCUUCAACCCAAACUCAGAAACUAAUCCACUUAGCCACUUUGCCUCUUUUACUGCUUCUGUAAAUGCAAUGUACUCAGCCUCAGUUGUGGAUAAAGUAACCACCGACUGAAGAGAGAUGUUUUCCAACUCACUGCCCCUCCAUUUAAAAUGAAAACAUAUCAUGUAAUGGACAUUCUCUUGUCCAGAUACCUUAACAACCACUUAACAACAUUCUAAUGUUCCCUUCCUGAAUUCCCCAUAAACCUACUAACAACCAUCAUGAUCUACAUCAGGUCUUGUACAAACCAUAGAAUACAUAAUGCUACCAACUGCACUUGAAUAGGGCACUGUCUUCAUAUACUCAAGGUCUUGAUCCUCUUCUGGUUCCUGAAGCUUUGACAAUCUGAAGUGUGCUGACAGAGGUACUGACACAGGCUUUGCACCACUCAUCUCAAAUCUGCUAAGGACCCUUUUAACAUACACAGCUUGAGUAAGAAACAAGGUUCUUGAAUUUCUGUCCUUCACAAUUUGCAUUCCCAGAAUUCUUGUAGCAGUCCCCAAAUCUUUCAUUUCAAAUGCAGAAUUCAACUCCAUUUUUAGCCUUUCAAUCUCCUCUCUCCUUUUGCAUGUAAUAAGCAUGUCAUCAACAUAAAGAAGGAGGUAAAUACCAUCUCCAGAAGAUAAAGUUUUAAAAUACAGACGGCUAUCAUAUUGGCUUCUGCAAUAUCCAUGGCUGAUCAUGAACUCAUCGAACCUCAAAUACCACUGCCUUGGAGACUAUUUCAGCCCAUACAAGCUCCUCUUCAACAAGCAUACCAUAUCUUGAGUCCCUUCUUCAAUGAACCCCUCAGGCUGAUCCAUAAGAAUUUCUUCUUCAAGACUCCCAUGUAAGAAGGCAGUCUUUACAUCCAUUUGAUCCAAUUCCAGGUCUUUGAAUGCUGUUAUUGCUAGUAGAACUCUUAUGGAACUAUAUUUGACAACAGGGGAGAAUACCUCAUUAAAGUUCACUCCAUGCUUUUGUGUGAACCCCUUUACUACAAGUCUUGCCUUAUACCUAGAGGCUCACCAUCAGCAGUCCCUUCUUUAAUUUUAUAGAUCCAUUUGCAUCUUGAGGUUUUAUCUUGAGGCUUAUCAUCAACCUCAAGAUAAAAGGCUCACUAUCAGCCUUUUAUCUUGAGAUUUCUUGACCAAAAUCCAUGUGUUAUUCUUCUUUAGUGAGAUGAUUUCUUCAUUCAUGGCAUCCAGCCAUUUUGCUCUAUUUUACUGCUCGUAGCUUGUUUGUAGUUUAUAGGCUCUUCACCAAUAACUUCCUCAAUUACUGCCACAACAUAAGAGAGCAUAUCAACUAUGCCAUACCUUUUGGGUAACUUAAUGACUCUCCUUUCCUUGUCUCUUGUAAGCUGAUAAUCAUGUGUUUGAGAAGUGAUGUGUGUUUUCUGAUAAGACUUGGAAUCCCUUUCUGCAGCUUUUUUAUCUUCACUUGACUCCACCUCAAAGUUGUAUUCCUUAUCCUCAUUUGAAUCAUGUGUAAUGAGCUCUGUUUCUACCCUCUGAUGCUGCAUAGACUCUUCAUCAAACACAACAUCUCAGCUAAUAAGAGUUCUUGUAGGUUUGCCAUCUAUGCACCAGAGCUUAUAUCCUUUGACACCCUCUGGAUAUCCUAUGAAGUAACCCUUAACAGCUUUUGGCUCUAACUUUCCCUGGUUUAUGUGAGCAUAAAUAAGGCAGCCAAAAACCCUGAGGUUGCUGAGAUCGGGAGGCUUUCCUGACCAAACUCCCUGAGGAGUCUUGAAAUGCAAGGCUGCUGAAGGGCUCUUAUUGACCAAGUAAGUUGCAGUGGUAACAACUUCUGCCCAGAAGUGUUUUGAAAGGUUUGCAUUAAACAACAUGCACCUUACCUUUUCAACUAAUGUCCUAUUCAUCCUUUCGGCUAACCCAUUUUGCUGAGGUGUGUGUGUUGGGAAAAUAUGCUCUUUAAAAGCAUAUGUGUUUAUUUAAUUGUAAUAAACAAUUUUUCUGAUUAAUAAAAUAAAUGAGAUAUUUUAUUCAAAUAUCUUAAUUGCAUUAAUAUUUGUAUUAAAUUCCAUUUAAUCAUAUUAUAUGUAUUUAUGUGAUCACCAUGUGGAUUCAUAGAAGACAUAAAUACAAGUUAUCUUAUGAUUAAAUAAAUUUAGUUCGCAGUUGAUAAAUAAAGUUGGGCACUUUAUUUAGGUAUAGACUGUAAUAAAUUCAUUAAAUGAUUUGUAUUAAUCAUGUAUGAAUUUAUUGAUGCAGUACGACUACAUUGAACAAUAUCACAUAUGAGAUUUAAUUAACUUUGUAAUAACUGUCAGACUUAUUAAAUCUCAUAGGCGUUGAUUUUACUGUAAUCUUAAUCUUGAGUUAAUUAUGAUUUCAUGAUUGUAAUUGUUAUUCCAUUUGAGUUACCAAUGGGCACGACACAUACUACAGCAGAUUGUGGUUAGGAGUUUUAAAAGUAAUUUUUAAAAACUAAAAUCUGGUUUUAGUAUUUUGUAAUUUUUUUUCCUAAGUCACUUUGACAAAAUCAUAUCAUUUUAUAGUAAUUUUAAAAACUAAACUCCAAUUUUGGUGCAGUUUUUGCACUUUUACUUAUAUAUCCUCAUAUUUCUUAUACAAACCUGAAAUUACCUCAUUUUCAUGUGGUUUCAAGGUAGAUAAGGAUAAACUUGAAAGCUGUUGUCCUCUCUUUUCCUUUUCAUUAAGACAAAAAAUCAAACUUGUAACUCAAAAAAUCAAAUAUAUCUCUCCCUUUUUUUUAAAUAUUUUUUUAUCUAAGAGGAUCAUUGAUUUAAUUUCACCUCAUUCUCCCCAAUGAAAUUUGAAGAAGGACCUCGACUCUUAUCACUUGAGCUAAGCCUUCAUCUAAAAAAGGGUUUAAAAUUUUAAUUAAUUUAUUUCAGACGAUAGAAUUUAAUUAAUAUGUUUCAGAUGAUAUUAAAAUUUAAUUAAAAUUCUAUUAUUAUUCUUUUGGGUUCUUUUUUGAAUGUUAACAUAAGGUCCACUCUUAGAAAUUCUGAAUCCCUAAAGCCUUCAUAGCAUCUUCAGGCCUAACCCGCAGUGUUUAAAAUGUAAAAUGCCAUAUGGCCAACAAUUGGGCCGAGCUAAAUCCCACUGGAAUGGCAAAAGGCCAAUGAAAUGGCAAAGUGCUACAUUUUAGCUGCUGUACGGCCAAGGCGGAUGUACGGUACAGCAGAAAAUUUAAAAACCUAAUUUUUCUCAUUUUGCCUUGCAGUUUUGUGCCUGACUAUCCCCUUCUUGAUGCAGAGUUGAUCAAAAUCAUUGCAGCAAUACUUGAGCCCAUUAUCUGUUCUUAGCCUCUCCACCCUCCUCUUUGUUUGAUUUUCCAUUAAAGUCAGUCAUUUUUUAAACUUUUCAAAAGCCUCACUCUUCUGCUUCAGUAAUAUACCCAGACUUUCCUUAAAAAGUCAUCAAUAAAAGUAAUGAAGUAUUUGGCUUCUCCAUGAGAAAGAACCUGAGAGGGCCCCUACAGGUCUGAAUGGAUAUAAUCCAUUGUAUUUUUAGUUUCUUGUUUUCCUAGAUUAAACUUUUGUCUAGUUGCUUUACCAAACACACACUUUUCACAGAAUUCAAGUGCUGAAAUUUGGUCAGUUCCUAGUAAUCCUUGUUUACUCAACUCUUUUAAUCAUUUCUCACUCAUGUGUGCUAGUCUCAUGUGCCAAAGCCUGGUUUUAUCAUUACUUACAUUGGUAAUAACAUCAGGUAACACAACUGAGCCAUUAAGCAUAUACAAUCCAUUUCUCCUACUAUAUUUCAUUAUGACUGUACCACCUUUAAGGAUCUGAAGUUACCAUUUUCUGCCCUUAUACAGCAGCCCAAUUGGUCUAUCAUUCCUAAAGAUAUGAGGUUUCUUUUAAGCUCUGGAACAUAUCUUACUUGUUCCAAGCUUCUGAUUGUACCAUCAUACAUUUUAAUAAUAACAGACCCUAUUCCAGCAACUUUAUAGGCUAGAUUAUUCCCAAGCAAAACUUUACCACCAUCAAACAUUUUCAAAAGUCACAAAGAAAUCUUUAUGUGGGCACAUAUGGAAAGAACACCCUGAGUCAAGUAUCCACUCACCAGAAGAUUUCUUAUCUGUUGCAAUAAGAACAUCCGCAUCUUCUGAUUCUCCUUCAUCUACAGAUACAACAUCAGCUUUCCCACUUGAUUCUUUCUGUAACUUUUCAAGCUUCUUUUUUUCAAAACAAUCUUUUAUAUAAUGCCCUUCCUUUUGACAUAAGUAGCAUUUCCUUUUCUUCUUCUUCUUGUCAGUCUUUUCUUUCUGAUUUUUGUUCUUCUUGUCUUUGUUCACCUUUUUCUCUGUCUUUGCUUUGGCAACUAAUCCAUCCCUAGCACUAUGAUCCUUGCCAUCUGCUCUCAUUUUCAAGUCUUUUGAUUCAAGAGCAUUCUUGACAUCUUUCAAGGUGAGAGUUUGUCUUCCACAGAGCAAAGUGUCCACGAAAUGUUCAUAGGUGUCUGGUAAUGAGCUUAACAGGAUAAGAGCCAUAUCUUCAUCAUCAAGUAUGAUGAUGACAUUUUCAAAAUCGAGUAUCAGUUUAUUUAACUCAUCAAGAUGAUCCUUCAUGAUUGUCCCCUCCUUUAUUGAAAAUGUGUAGAGCUUCCUUUUUAUGUAUAAUCUUUUAGCCAUAGAUUUCUUUAAGAAAAUUUCUUCCAACUUCGCCCACAACCCAGAGGCAGUCUUCUCUUUGGCUACUUCUCUCAACACCUCAUCAAAUAGGUGGAGUAUAAUUGUGCUGUGAGCUUUGUUGUUUAUGGUCCUCAAGUCUCCAUCUGAACCUGACGAACCUUCCCCCUUUUCUUUCUUGGACUUUGAUUCUUCAUCAUCAUUGAGGGCACUAUCUAAGCCCUGUUGAAUCAAGAUGGCUCUCAUUUUCAGACUCCAUAAGUAGAAAUCGUUUUCACCAUUAAACUUUUCAAGAUCAAACCUAGUGGCUGCCAUUCUUGAAGAUCAAGAACAGAGAGCUUAUCAGCUCUAAUACUAGUUUGUUAAGAAAAAGAUGAACAGAGAUAAACCAAGAUUUGGCCAAACAAAAACAAGAACAGAGAUAAACCAAACUCCAAAAAGAAAAGCUUUAUUGCUUAAGAUUGAUUACAACGAGACUACAAGUGACAAAGAACAAAUCUCUUUUAACCAAGAAUCCUAACUCUCAGUAUUAGCCACUAAACUCAAUCGAAAAGAAUGCCCCGUGAUCAGCCUCUCCUCAGUGUUUUAUACAACUCCUAGUCAUAAUGAAUUUACCACAUGCUGCCCACAAUAAGUUGAUUCACCGUGCCACCUCAUCAGUAACUAAACAGAAUGUAACUAACUUUCGGCUUCACAAGAACAAAAAAAAAAUUUGUCUAAUUAACUUUUGGUUCAUGAUAAUAGAGUAUUGAUGAAAAAUUUGUUGAAGUGAGUAUCCUCUAAUAGCCACGCUGAUUAAUUAAGAUGCAGGAAAAAUUACUCAUCGUCUAUUAUUGAAUAAAUUUUAAUUCUUAUUUCAUAAUUUAUUUUUUAAUUUUGACCAAUUGUUAGUUGGUUGUCGAGAAAGAAUAUAAAUGUAAAGUGAAAAGAGAUUUAAUUUAGGAUAAUUUUGUUAUUUCUAAGAAAGUAUGUUGAGUAAAAACUUAUUUUUAGAAUUUUCAAUAGGUCUCUUCAGUGAAACAGUAUUCUAAGUGUGAAAACUAUAGGCAAACGAUAUCGAAAAUGUAAAUCCACUCUCGUAUUAUUCAAGUGGCGAGCUCAAAGACCAAGUUAUACAAGAAAGUUGAUAACGUAAAAGGAACGUAUCAAUCACCAUGAUUUGAGGUUUUUUCCUCAUAUUUGCAAUAUCAUGUCAAUGGCCGUGAUAUUUACCAUAUUUACAUGAAAUAAUGGCAAAGGUGGCUCAUAAUUGAUUUAAUUGAGAAGCUUUAAGAUCAUAUCUCAAGAAUCCUAAUGUGAUCCUCCUUAUUUUAUUAAUGCACCUGAAGCAUCUGCAUGGCAAUAGUGGGCACCCAUUCACAAUUAUUAUUCGGAACUUCACUGCAUUAUUGGUUAAUCAGUGAUCCAUUGGACCUCUGCGUAAUUGAACGAUAGCUGUUAAUCCGUCUUUUACCAAUCUACAAUUACAUAUCGGUGGGCGGAACCAACAUUUUAGUUCGUAAUUGCCGUGAUAUUUUACAAGUUACGAGUUUUCUUGAAAAUUUAAUUUAAGGCCACCGAAAUGUAUCACAAAUGACUAGUUUCCUUAAUUUUUUUUUCCUUAUAUUUCAUAAAUUUUCAAAAAGUUCGCAACCAUCAACUUGUACAUCGUUCCGACUAUGAUCAUCAACUUACCCGUUGUCCCCCAGAGCUACUUGAAUUUAUAUGUAUUUUUAUAUCAUAAAUUAUUUCCAGUGACAUGUUAUGUGUUUCAUGUCGGCUUCUACUGUCUAUAUAUUAUGUUGUAUAUCACAGGUAUUUCAUUGGGACAAGUUAAGUUUUGAAUUCCUUUUAUAAUUCAUAUAUAAAUACAUGCAUUUAUGAAUAAGGAUUUGAAAUUUUUAAUGCUCGGAGAUUAGCAUUACUCCUUUAUUUCAUGGUUGUAUAAUUGAUGAUGGGGAGGCAAAUGAGAAUCUUGAGAGAAAUCGUGACGAGUCUGGUUAAGUGGAGUGCUAUUCUUUUGUGUUAUAUUUUAUUAUAUAAAAGGAUACAAUGAGUCGUAUUCCAUGUCAAUUGUGUGAGUGCAUGUCGGUUUACUUCAAUUAUAUAUAUAAGAUAUUUUCUUGUUCACAUCUAUGUAUGUUAUUUUCCUUAAACUAAAUAAUUAAUACCCAGAUGGGUAAAUGAUCCAAUUACCACCCUUCUUUUUUUUUUUGAGGAGUUCAAAAAUACUAUGAUGGCUCCGUUGCUUUAUAUAUUUAUUUCUUUUGUGAUUUAGCAAUCCCAAAGUUUCUUUUUUUUUUUCAAAUCAAAAUAAAAAAAUAAAAAAAUAAAAAAUAAUCUUUUUUUUUUUUUCGUACUCUUUCAUACCAUAAAUCUUGUUAAUUGUUAAGAACCUUCUGGCGUGAAAAAGGUGUGUGGCGCUGCAAUAGGCCUCCGAUAGGUAAGAUAAACUCGGAAUAUCCCUUCUUUAUCUCAUACUACUGCUUCGAUACAUAAUCAAAUAUUUUGAAAAAAAAAACACUGACAAUUUUCAUAUCGAAUUCAAAGUGCCAUGCUAUUAUUACAUAAUAUUAAGAAUUCAUAUGGCGAAGGCAUAGUCUUCUUUUUUCUCUCUCAAAUUAUUGUGAGUCACUAAAUAUCAGUUUGUUGUUUAAGUUACUCAUGAUUAUGCUCAAUCUUCUUGAAUACUUUUUUGAAACAAACCUCAUAUGUUGGUUUGUUAAUUAAAUACUAUUAGUUAAUCCUCUUCAGUUAUUUGUGGUUUCUUCACACUCAAUCUUUAAGGAUAAAAAAAGAGAGAUUAAGGCUCCUCUUGAGAUUAAGGUUGAAAUGCUAUAAGCGAUUUAUUUCAUAAGUUUUUGAAAAAAAAUAGUAUUUGGUAAAUUUUUUAAAAACUAUUUAUUUCAUAAGUUUUUGUAAUUUGACUUAAACUUUUAAAAAUAGAUAAAAGGUUUUUUUUUUAUAAACAACUUAUUAAAUAAACCAUCACACCUUUUUAAAAUUCCUAUUAUAACCUUAAUAAUUUAAUUAAAAGAAACAAUAAUGCUAUGAUUACUCAGUUUUGAUACUUAGGACUUGUGUGUCUAAAGUUUUAGUUUGACUUAAGUUAAGAUGUUUUGGUAUUUUUGCUUGUUUGUUUUUAUAUAUGAAGUUUGUUUAAAAAAAUUUUCAUUUGAAUGAAAUAGGGCAACCGAAAGCAUGUGGCGCACAUCCUCCAUUUUUGGUAACUUUAGAUCGCAAUCUGUUAGUUAUUUCGCACAAAAUUCAGUCUGUCAUUGCUCCAGGAUUGUUACAGCAACGGCUACAGCAUCUUCACAAUUUCAAACUUGUUUUACUUCUUCUGCAGCCAAGUUAUUCUGCCAUCUUUGCAGGUGUGUUGUAGCCGCUUUCCAUCCCCGAAAAUUGAGCUUUGUAGUUACAUACAAUCAUGCACAUAAUCUAAGCACAAGAUGAUCGAAAACAAAUUCAAUUUAUUGAAAAUAAAAUAAAAUGGAUGCUAAUGCAAAAUCUAAGUAAAAUGCGAUAAAAACACAUCAUUUACUCUCUAAGUAUUAUUGAUUUAAGUCUAAAACUACCAUAAUAACUCUCAUUCUAUAGAGCUCUCACAUGACUCUCACUCAAAGUCUGCUCUGUAUUAGAGACCUCACUAGAAUCAAUGUUGUUCAACUCAUUUUCUCUAGAUGAGGUUGAAGCCUAGGAGACAUCCUCCUAAUGUUGUCUCUAACACUGAUAUCACCUAUAGCUUCUAGGGGAAUUUUCGGGACGAAAACAGGUUUCCUAAAUAAACUAGGAAAAAACUAUAGUUCAUCAUCAUCAAUCUCAUUCACUUUCUCUCUACUGUUUGACAUUUUUCAAAUAAGCCUAAAGCUAGUACCAAAAGACUGGCAAAGCCAAGGAAAAAUCAUAAAAUUCCCAGUGAUGAAGUGCCAAAAAAAAAAAAAAACAAUACCUGAGACGAGGAAAGAUUAGAACUAAGGCAACAUUUACGGCUUGUUCCCCGGUUAGAUAAACGGCUUGGUAAUUGGAAAAAGCGAAAGAGAAAUAUGAGAAAGAUGAAGUGAUUUGGGAAAUUAGGAAUUUUGAGAAAAUGGAAGGUUUUAAUCAAUGUGUCAUUUAAGAACGUGUGCCUCGAGGGUGCUAUAACUGCUCGUUCGAAAUUUAAAUGCCUACCCCAACGUGUGCCACAUCGCAUGUAUUUAAAUCAAUGCGACCACUUGAGUGAAUAUAUGCCCACCAGUCAGGAAAGUGAAAAAUACUUUUAUCAGCCUCCUAUUAUAAGAGUCGAGCAGCUAGACUGGUCAAUGAAGUUUAUUAAGUUUUUAGUUUUGAUUCGUUUCACUCUCAGCACUAGAAACUGGAGGACUGGUAUUUGGCUGAUAAAGAGGCAAUUGUUGAAUAUUCACUCAAGCAUAAUGUGCUCUCCACGGUAACAAUUCCUUGAGAAGGGGAACAACUAGUCGAGUAUAUGUGGUUAGCUAAGGUACUUUCGAGGAGAGGACGAGUCAAGUCAAUUCAAAGACCUAAUCAAAGGGGCGACCAACAUGUACCCACGAAGAAUCCAGGUACGAAGCCCAUUUACUAGCAAUUACACUGCCCACUCAUCAACGGUUACACACUUUCUAUUUAGCCAUGAUUGCACUUCUGAGCCAACAAUGAUCGUGGGGGAGAGGAAGCCGAUAACACUAGUUUGGUAUAUAAGAUACAGAUGACUAAGGUAAAAGGAUUAUACAUUAUGUUACUUGAUUCUCUAGAACUUACUCUCCCUCUAUUUUUCAAUUUCUCUCAAUUAUCUUACUUUCUUCCUCAAAAUUAAUUCUUUUUAUUUAAAACAGUUGUAAUUAGGUCACGUGAUUGGUGGCACAAGUUUUUCUAAGUAAACCUAGAUCAUUGAUUUCAGCGUCGGAGAGUUUAUGUUGGAAAAACCUCCGGCGUUCCCUAACUGGUUGUUGUGAACAAAGGUGUCUUAGGGGGAAGAGUUCGAGGUUGCAAGAGCCCGUUCGAUAAGAAAGAAAGAAGAACAGGACCGUCUCCCCAACAACUACAAAUUUAAGUGUUGGCAUGAUUGUCUGGUCGCUACGCAACCUGACCAAAAUUCAACAUCAACAAUAUCAGUUUACCUAAUGCUUCAUUCUUCAUUUGUUUGCCAAAUAAUAUGGAAGUAGCUAUGUGGUUUUUUGCUAAAAUCUUCCAGCUCCAUUCCUUUCAUUUUAUUAUAUUUUUGUUGUUGCUCUAAUUUUUUUCCUUACUACUUAAAAUUAAAUAUCCUUAAUUGCAUGCUUGUCUCAGCAUAAUGUCACCAUUGCCAUACUGAUAGUCUAGUCACUGGCUUACUGAUUCAAGGAAAAACAUACUGCUUUUUUAAGUGCUGUUUCGAGGUUAUGAUAUAUAAUUCUUGACAAGCCCUUUGGAAGUUGUGGUACCAUGGUUGAAGAAGUAUAUGAAUCGAGAAAGAAAUUAAUAUUAACAUAAGCCUUGCCGGUAGGACUAAGAAGGAAAGAAAGUGAUAAGAUUCCUUCGUUAAUGCCAAAAGAUCAGCCAACAGAUUAUCACUCGUUAAUGCCAACAGAUCAGCCAACAAAUUAUAAAUCAUAUCUUCAAUCAAUAAAAUCAUCUCAUCAAAGUUACUUAUAUUAAGGACUCCUUGGCAAGCUCUCAAACGGUCAUAAUAUCCCAUAAUUUAAUCAUUUUAAUAUAAGGUUCCUAAACUGACGUAAUUAUGUCCUUUCCUAGUUGAAACCUUCUCUUUGUAUAUAAAUUAGAAUUGUAAUCAUCACUAAGGUGUGUGCAAUAACAUAUUUCUUUUGCAAUUAUCUUGCAUAUUAUUUCUUUAUGGUAUCAGAGCUAGCUAUGGCUAACACCUUUUAAAUUGAACCCAAACUCACCAUCCAAUCCUUCCACCAAUGCUCUAGCCUAAUAUCUAUCAAGCUUUCGAUGAAUAAUUUUCUUCUCUGGAGGUCACAAGUGCUUCCUCUUAUAAGAAGCCUUGGCCUAGAACAUCAUACUCAUGAUGAGGCAACUCCACCAAAGAUGAUAAAUAUAGCUGGAAAAGAGAGUUAGUAAUCCUGAAUUUUUGUCUUGGAAAAAUAAUGAUGGAUUACUUAUGACAUGGUUGAGAGGGAUGAUAUGUGAAGAUGUUCUAAGUUUAAUUAUUGGAGGAGAAACUUCUCUUGAAGUUUGGUUAUCUAUUGAAGAGCAAAUUUUGCCAGCUACCAAAGAGCAAGAAUCAUGGCUUAAAGAUAACCUGUACUCAAUCAAGAAGGGCAACAUACCCAUUGAUGAAUUUCUAAGGAAAUUCAAGAACCUUUGUGAUAACCUUGCUGCCAUAGGAAAACCAAUCCCAGACGAUGACAAGGUCUUCCAGAUUGCUAGAGCUCUUGGUCCAAAAUAUGCCGAUUUCAAAACGGCAAUGCUUGCUAAACCACUACUGCCCACCUUUAAGCAAUUCAUCCUUGCUCUUCAUAAUCACGAGCAAACUGUUGUUGUUCACAAGGAGGAAGAAAAAUCCAUUAUGGAUCAUAAUCAAGCCUUUUUUAGACAAAGAGGGAGAGGCUGAAAUCAAAGGGGAGGCAGACAUGGAGGUCGCAGCAGAGGUUCACAACAAAAUAAUGGAUCGAAAAAUGCUCAAAGCAACCAGCAGCAUCAACCACGACAAAAAAUAAUAUUGAAACCAACAAAACAAAUCAGCAAAAUGUGAUUUAUUGUCAAAUCUGUGGUAAGAAAGGUCACUCAGCCGCUGUUUGUUGGGACAUGUAUAAAUAUUAUAAGGAUGAGGUUCCACAAGCCCUUGGGACUGUCAACUUGAACCAAACUGACGAUCAAAUUUACGCUGACUCAUGGGCAACCUUUCACAUAAUCAACAAUCCAGGUAAAUUAAAGACAAUCGUUCCUUACAAAGGCCAUAAUAAAAUCUUUGUAGAGAAUGGACAAGGUCUUCAAAUAUCUCAUAUUGGUAAUACCUCUUUAAAAAUUGAUUAUGGAGAUUUACAUUUGAAAAACGUUCUUGUGGUUCCAAAAAUUAAAAAAAAAAUCUCCUGUCAGUUGGACAACUUGCUAAUGAUUCUCAAUGUUCUUUUGUGUUUAAUUAUGAUGGUUUUUUUUGUCAAGAACAAACAAAACCAAGUGGUAGCAAUGAGGCAUAAGAAAGGCAACCUAUAUGCACUGGAUGAAGUAAAUAAAGUAGCUCUAAGCGCAAUAAGAGGGAAUACUGCAGAAUCAAAUUUGUGGCAUAUGAGACUUGGGCAUCCAAGUAUUAAAGUCCUACAAAUUCUCUAUAAUAAUAGGAAAACCAAUAUUUCCAAAUGGAUAAAAAUACCCAAAAUUUGUGUAUCUUGUCAAUUAGGAAAGAGUUUUAAAAUUCCUUUUUCUACUUCUAAUAAAAUCUCGGUUGUUCCUUUGCAUAAGAUACACUGUGAUUUAUGGGGUCCAACUCCAAUUAACUCUAAUCAAAAUUUUUGAUUUUAUGCAUUAUUUAUAGAUGACCAUACAAGAUUUUCCUGGCUAUUUCCACUACAACGAAAAGCUAACUUCUUUGAUUGUUUCAUACGAUUUCAGAAACAGGUGGAAACACAAUUUGAAAGAAAGAUUAAAGUGUUUUAAUGUGAUGAAGGGGGAGAAUUUUCUUCUAAUGCUUUUAUAAAGCAUCUUGAUGAUUGUGGCAUCAUAUGACAAAUAUCAUGCCCAUAUACUCUAGAGCAGAAUGGAGUUGCUGAGAGAAAACAUAGGCAUAUUGCCGAAACAGCCUUAACUCUCAUGUUUUGUGCCUCACUUCCUCUCAAACUUUGGGCAGAUAUUUUUGUAGCCGCAACUUAUUUGAUAAAUAGGAUGCCGUUGUCUACACUUGAAAUGAAAUGUCCAUAUGAAAAACUCUUUAAAAAGACUCCUGAUUAUGUUGGAAUUAAAGUUAUUGGGUGCAAAUGUUUUCCUUAUUUAAGGAACUAUAACAAGACAAAAUUUGAUGGAAAAACUUUCCCAUGUAUUUUUAUAGGUUAUAGUUCCUUACAUAAAGGAUAUAGAUGCUUAAAUCCUAUGACUAAAAGAGUCUAUAUUUCUCGGCAUGUCAUUUUUUAUGAAACGAUUUUUCCGUUUUCUAACAAAAAUAAGUUUGUUGAAUGCAUGCAGGAACCAAGUCAACUUACAACGUUUCCAUUUUAUAAUGAAUGGCUAAAUUGCCCUAACUCAAUUAAAACCCAUGAUUUUAUGAAUCUUGCCCUUAGUCAAAAGCCACUUCCAUCUUUUCAAGAAGACCACAUGACGCCCACUCAAAUGCAAACUCCUUUGUCCAACUAUGACAGCCAUGUUAUUCGCACACUAGCUACAUUACAGGAAAAGCAGAAAGAUACUAUUGUUGCAGAAGAUCAAAGCGACAACAACUUGACUGCCUCAUUAAAUGAAUCAAUCUCAGAAGAGCAAAACUGCAACAACACUGCCACUUCAUCUACCAAAGUAACCAACUCAGAUAAAAUUCAAACCGAGAACUCCUUAUCAACUGACUUGACCAGCUCAGAUAGAACCCAGACCGAGGAUCCAUUUUCAACAAAUCAAAAAAAUUAUUCUGAUAUCUCUGGAAAGUUAUUAGUUGAUUUUUCGAGUUACACUAAAAAUCAACCAACCACCUUAUCUGACAUAUCAGGUAAUCCAGUCGUUGAUCUCACGAGACCACAACAAUUACAAACAAAUCUAUCAUCAUCUCAAAAUACUCAUUCCAUGAUAAGCCGACAAAAAGCCAACAACAAUCAUAACCUAGCAUUACAAGCCUCUCAAAACCAACCAAUUGAGCCAAAAACUUUAAAAUCGGCUCUCAAGAAUCCCAUAUGGGUUACGGCAAUGGAAGAAGAAAUUAAGGCUUUGCAUGACAAUAAUACUUGGCAUCUUGUUCUUCGUCCUAUUCACAAUAUUGUAAUAGGAUCAAAAUGGGUUUACCGGAUCAAAUACAAAGAAGAUAGGACGAUUGAUAGGUACAAGGCACGUCUCGUUGCCAAGGGAUUCACACAAAUCUCAGGAGUGGACUUUGAUGAGACCUUUAGUCCUGUCAUAAAACCAACCACUAUUCGACUGGUUAUGGCAAUUGCAGUGAGUUCAAAAUGGCCAAUGAAGAAAUUAGACGUCAAGAAUGCUUUUCUUCAUGGCAAAUUAAAAGAAACAGUGAACAUGGAGCAGCCCCCGGGUUUCAAAAAUCCUAAUCUAUCAUCAUUUGUCUGUAAACUAAACAAGUCCAUUUAUGGGCUCAAGUAAGCUCCACGCACCUGGUUUGAAUAUCUUUUUAAAGCAUUAUUUAAACUAGGCUUUGUUAAUAGUAAAUCUGAUUCAUCUUUGUUUAUUUUACAGGACAAGGGAGUACUCAUUUUGCUUUUGAUAUAUGUAGAUGAUGUUAUAAUAACAGGAAAUAACUCUUCUGUUAUUCAAUCGAUCAUCUUAACAUUAAGUACAAUCUUGCACUGAAAGACCUUGGGACACUUCGGUAUUUUCUUGGGAUAGAAAUCAAAUAUUUCCAAAAUGGGGUAUUUUUAUCUCAAACUAAGUAUACACAAGAUUUACUAUCAAAGACAAAGAUGCUUGAUUGUACUCCUGUGGCAACACCCAUGGCUAUAAAAACAACUACAAAUCUUAAGGACAGUGAACCUGUGAAUGCUACAGAAUGUCGAGGCCUAGUUGGUGGCUUACAAUAUUUGACCUUUACAAGGCCGGAUAUAACAUACGCUGUAAAUAAAGUAUGCCAGCACUUCAAUGAUCCAACCAAGGCAGAUCUCAAAGCAGUAAAAAGGAUCCUUCGAUAUCUCAAAGGAUCAUUAAACUAUGGCAUUCGUUUUUUGUCUCAAAGUUCAUUAACACUAUACUCCUUUUCUGACUCUGAUUGGGCAGGUUGUCCCGAGACUAGACGAAGCACCACAGGUUAUUGUGUCUACUUAGGAGCAAACUGCAUUUCUUGGAGCUCAAAGAAGCAAACCACCGUAGAAAGAUCAAGUGCCGAAGCAGAAUAUCGAUCAAUGGCCACCACUGCAGUUGAGAUCACAUGGAUUCAAUUUCUUCUUCGCAAAAUUGGUCUCACAAUGAACAAGAAAACACUUCUAUUGUGCGACAAUAUGAGUGCUCUCUACAUGACCAAAAAUCCGGUCUUCCACGCGAGGACAAAGCAUAUCGAGCUCGACUUCCACUUUGUUCGAGAAAGGUCGCGCAAGGAUCCAUCUUCACAAGGCAUGUACCUUCAUCACGGCAAAUUGCGGUGUGUUCACAAAAUCAUUAAGCAAAUACCAAUUCCAAAACUGCCGCAACAAGUUAGGAGUCCAUCCCAUGGACAUUCCAAACUUGAGGGGGGUUGAUAAGAUUCCUUCGUUAAUGCCAAAAGAUCAGCCAAUAGAUUAUCACUCGUUAAUGCCAAAAGAUCAUCCAACAAAUUAUAAAUCAUAUCUUCAAUCAGCAAAAUCAUCUCAUCAAAGUUACAUAUGUAAAGGACUCCUUGACAAGCUCUCAAACGGUCACAAUAUCCCAGGAUGUACGGUACAGCAGACCAAUCAAGUUCAGAGAGUUUGUAAAGCAAUAACAUAUUUCUUUUGCAAUUGUCUUGCAUAUUAUUUCUUUAGAAAGGACGGUACAGAAGCGUCCUUAACUAUAGCAUUAGCUUGUAUUUCAAAAUGCAAUAUGCACCAUCAGCGGUGUCUUUUUUAUUCAUGCUUGGGAAAUAGUGGUUAUUUUCCAAGGAAGAUCUACAAGAACUCAAUAUUGUUUCUUAUGUUUUUUGCAUAAUAUCUGCCAUGUCCUGAAAAACAAUGUUGUCUUAUUCAGGUUAUUAGUUUUGACAUAUUUGUAGAAUGUGAUGGUUGAACUCUUUGUUGCAGCUUAGUCUUAAAUUAGGACUUAAUUACAUCUCAUUUAAAUUUGGGAUUUAAUAUGAAUAUGUAUUUGCAUAUACUAUUCUAUUUUACAUUUUUAUGUGCAUGUAUUGAUAUGGAUGAUCUCCCCCCCGCCCCCCUUCUAAAUUCUAUUCUGCUGUCCUCAUUCUUUUUCUCACCCUUCUAUUUAUUUAAUAACUUUUAUUACGACCUUUCUUUAGUUUUAAUUCUCAUUGGUUUAUGUAAUCUUCUCCGGAGUCAUUGAGGUUCAUAUAUAUAUAUAUAUAUAUUUUCCUUGUUCUUCAGAUAACCGGGCUCAAGGUAAUUAGCGUCCAAGUGGUGAAAGAUAAGUUGGCACCCGCAAUGAAGAAAGCCGACCUCACGAUAGAGUUUGGCAAAGGCUUCUACUGUGUACCCUAAAUUUUCGAAUCGGCAUGCGAACGUGGAAUCAUUCAGAAGGAAGAACACAAUGAAACGGGAGGUUUUCAAUGAUAGACAUCAAGCUGAACAGUAUUUGAUUGAAACUACUGAGGUUCUUAACAAGAUAAUCAUGAUCUUGAGGAAAAAUUUGCUCGAAAGGCAUUGACUAUAUAAAGUAUUCCGAGAUGAUCGAGCUGGGUCAGGUCAAUGCAAAUAUCGGAUCAAUACAAAUAGAAGAGGACUUGAAAGUGGUGUUAUGCCAACAAUCGGAGAAUUUGACCUGCACAUAAAUGGUUUCUGGAGAUUUGGCCAUACCAAGCAUAUCCCUUAGAACCAAACGAAACUCGGUGUUGUUGAUGCUCUUCAUUGGGACUCAAAAUUACUCUGCUGAGUGCUUAGGGUGAGAGAUUUGUACUAGUUCUUCAUGCUCUUCUAAUGGGCUUUUCCAUUGCCUUGAUUGUCUUUAACUGUUAGGCUGCUUAGGGUCCAUAUUUAUCGUCCCCAAAAAAUUGUAAUCAUUUAGGCAUUGUACAUAGGUGGCGUAAUUCAAAAAUAUUUGUCCAAGUUCUUGUAGUUCACUAGUUCAUAACCUUUGGGGCAGACUUGUCAAGUGGUCAUUUCCUUCUUUCUUUUGUGUUUUAGGCUCCCUCUGGUACUGAUGUUGGUGGGGAUAAGCAUGUCGGGUUCGGUUUGGGAAAAUUAAGAUAAAUGAUGGAGCUAUUAGCAUCCCUUCCAAAAAUCUUAUAAAACCCAUUACUUAGCCACUUACCAUUUAGACCUUAAUUUCAAUUAUAUUCUAAAAAAAAAAAUUUAUUAAACCCAUCUUAAUACUCUAAGGGCGUAUUUUAUCCUUUGAUUAUAAACAUGUAAUAUUUAUAAUUUUUAUUUAAAAAUCAUAUUUAUCUUAUAUUAUUAUUACCUCCACCAAACAAACGGAGUCUCGACAGUAUAGAAAUAUUAAAUUUGUUAAUACAGACGACAGAGACAUAUAUCUAAUUGUAACUCAACCCCGUUAUUACUCAAGUCUUGUUGACUAUUAUUUAAUAGCAUGAUUUGCGGUUGUGAUCACCUAGUCUAAACUCUAUAAACCAUAGUCAAGCAGCCAGCUGUCUGAGUGAAAUUUAGUUAUCGCUUGACUUUGACAUUAACACAUCCACAGAAUGAGAUAAUGAAUUGAUGAUACCAACAAAUUUGAGCGUUCUAUUUUCCACAUAACAAGAUAGCAGAGUAGCACUCAAUUCGGAAUUUGGGAUUCAGCUGCCCCAAUUGAGCACGUUUCUGGAAAAACAGACAAAUACAAUGAAAGUGGCAGUUUGGCAUCAUUAUUUGUUACAGCUAAUAAUAAAGACUUAAAUGACUUCUAUCUUUUAUGACUCUAAUUGAUUUUGGUCUAUUUUAUAUAUCCCGGAUAUUUCUCAAUGAAAAGUAUGAUAAUAUGUAAAAACUAAAUUAUGAAAAAUAAAUGUUGAUCCUCUGCUAAUCUAUUUCCAAAAUUUGCAACACUCCCAUCGAGAGAGGAAUUAGCAUGUCAUCAUGAUCAUAGAGUAAGUUGAGAAAUUUAAUUUUUUUUAUUAUUACAUUUUGAUACAUUAAUUAAUCAUGUGAACACCAAUAAAUGUACCAUAUCAAUCAUCUGUUGAAGCAAGUAGUAUAAGGUUUGAAUCCAUGUUCAGAUGAGUGGAAAGAGAAUUGAAUUGCUGUUAGGUUUAAAUUAAAAAAACAAAUUCAAACUGUAGAAGCCAUGACGAUCGAUGUGUUGAUCAACGUCCUUCUCAACAAGUUAUAUUACAAGGCAGCAUCAGCAUGCGUAGGCAAUGAGGCAUGCAUUUUUUUUUUAAGUAUAUGUACUAGAUAAAUUAUAUCGAAUAGCAAAUUAUUUUUUACUGCACUUUCGAUCGGUAUACAUGAUCUUAAACUAAAAAGGUGGGUUAGGGCUCAAUGUCACGGACCACUCAAAUUCUGGGACAAAGAGAUUAAAUGCACAAGCCAAGAUGUGCUAGCUUGACUUGAUGCUAGAAGGUUCCAGCUCUAGUCAAGAAUGGCAACCUAAGUAGACAACAAAUUAAUAUUAAAGCUACCAAGCAGCUCCAAAAUGAGGACGUCUACAUAUUUUGUAAUUGAGUAUAUCAAUCUUUUAGUUACAAGUUUUUACAUGUGUCGGUGUAUUUUUUAAAUUAUCAAUCAUACAAAUACAAUAUAAAUUAAAAUAAAGUAAUUGGAUAUCGAUGCAUGAUCACGUUGAGUCGUCGACAAUACAAAUAAGAAAGGAGACUUGUUCCAUUUUCUAACACCAUAUUAAAAAAGAACCAAGUUGUUGAGUAAUUGAACGUCUACGAAUAUGAACACCACAAAUAUGGAGGAAGUUGCAGUAGGGCACUGCCAACGAGUCAAAAGAUAGUGACAUGCAUGCUCAAGAAAAUUAUUAACCUCAGGACUUUUCAAAGAACCCAGCAAGUUGUUAGAUUAAUUUGUUUCGACCAUUCAGGUUGUCAUUAUUAUCAGUGUAAAAUUUUUUAUUUUUUUUUCUUCCACUAUGGUUCAUGGUCAUGGUGAUUUUCCUCUAUAAAUGGGCUGGCAAGAAUUGGUGUUAGUAUAACACACUUUGCAAUUUCGUUUAUCUCUAUGGCUAAGUUCUUUUCCUCUCUCAAUACCCCUUCAAUGGCUCCAGUCGUCUUGUUUCUUCUUGGGCUGCUAAUGGCUACCUUAGAUACAACAAGUAUAUAUCUUAAUUUCUCGAGAAAAUGAUCAAAACCUCUUUGUUGUUCAUAAAAAAUUUAAUUUCUUUUAAUGUUUCAAAAUCUAUCAAAUUCGCUUUCAAGAGCUUGACCAAGUAGUUUUUAAGCAAUGUUUUAGCUGAUCCUCGAUGAUCGAAUAUGGAAGUGAUAGUGACUAAAAACUGAUUUUGCACUUUAUCCAUUUCCUACUUUUUUUUCUUUUAAUCCAUCAAAACAAACCCGUACGUUAUCAUUCAAUUUUCUGUGUUUUAAUAAUACUUUUUUUUUUUUUAUACCUAUUGUGUUUUAAUAAUACUUGACCUAUUACAACUUUUUUUUAUAAACAUUGAGUUUUAAUUAGUGUUUACCACAUCAAGGGAAAAAAAUAUUAAAAGCAUAAAACAAGUUAGAAUUUAACAUUUUUUUUUUUUUAAAGACAGAAUUUUUGAAAUAUACGGUGCGAAAUGAUUACUUUACCGAGACCCAACGUAACCAUUUGAUCGUUUUCCCUAUCCUUCUCUCUAUCCAUGGAUUAAUAUUAUUCAUUAACUACUAUUAUAAGUUCUUAAUUUGUUCAUUAUCUAUAUAUUGCAUUUUACAGGUGCCCAAAUAGGUGUUUGCUAUGGAAUGCUUGGUAACAACUUACCAUCAAAACGAGAUGUCAUAGCUCUCUACAACCAAAACAACAUCAGAAGAAUGAGACUAUAUGAUCCAAACAGAGAAGCACUCGAAGCUCUCAGAGGCUCCAACAUUGAAGUCAUGUUGGGCCUUCCCAACAACGACCUCCGAAGAAUCGCUUCCAAUCAAGCCGAAGCAAACACUUGGGUCCAAAACAACGUCCGAAAUUUUGCUAACAAUGUCAAGUUCAAAUACAUUGCUGUAGGAAAUGAAGCAAAACCUGGAGAUAACUUCGCUCAGUACCUUGUUCCCGCCAUGAGAAACAUACAAAACGCCAUCAACGGAGCCGGCCUUGGAAACCAAAUCAAGGUUUCCACUGCCAUCGAAACUGGAGCUCUUGGCGAAUCUUUCCCUCCGUCAAGAGGCUCAUUUAAACAAGAUUACAGACCCAUUCUUGAUCCCCUCAUUCGUUUCCUCAACGAAAACAGAUCCCCCUUGCUUCUCAACCUGUACCCUUACUUCGCAAUUGCUGGUAACCGCCAAAUAUCUCUGGAUUAUGCACUAUUUAGGUCACAACAGACGGUCGUUUCCGACGGAUCGUUAAGUUACCGAAGUCUUUUUGACGCCAUCUUGGAUGCUGUUUACGCCGCGCUGGAGAAAACCGGCGGGGGGUCGCUGGACAUCGUGAUAUCGGAGAGCGGGUGGCCGACGGCUGGUGGGGACGGAGCGUUAGCGAAUGUUGAUAAUGCAAGGACUUAUAAUAAUAACUUGAUACAACAUGUGAAGCGAGGGUCACCAAAGAGGCCAGGAAGGCCUAUUGAGACUUACAUAUUUGCUAUGUUUGAUGAGAAUGGCAAAACGGGACCUGAGAUUGAGAGGCAUUGGGGACUUUUUGCUCCAACUAGGCAGCCUAGAUACCAGAUUAAUUUUAAUUAAUUAACCAAGCUAAAGCAGCUGCAUGCACCAACAGGAUUCGAGGUAAUAUUUAUAAUGGAAUAAAUUCUACCAUAUGUACUAGUGAAUAAGAGUUUGGAUCACCACCUUGUAUGGGUGCAUGAGGGCAAAUUUCGUGAACAAUUAAUAAUGUCAAUGGUUACGGUUUUGCAAAGCUUAAUUUAUAAUACUACGUCCGAUCCUCAUUUGUGUACAACGUGUAAGACAAUUUAAAGGGAUGAUUGAUGUUGAAUAACAAUUUUAUCUACAGGCUUAAAUUAAAACUAAAUGGUUAUCAUAUUGAAAACAAAACUGAAUUGAAUUUGAAAUUUUAGUUUGGUUCAGGGUAAAUUGAAACUAUGUGUCCAGUCCUCUCCUUCUCUCUCUCUCUCCAAGUGAAUUUGUAUGGCCAACUAAAGAAAUUAAAUUGCUUGAAAAUCAUUUGGUCAAGUCC
RNAcentral lists this long non-coding RNA (62326 nucleotides) under Citrus sinensis (sweet orange). Its description in RNAcentral is "long non-coding RNA (CSIN_LNC004145)". Lineage: Eukaryota; Viridiplantae; Streptophyta; Magnoliopsida; Sapindales; Rutaceae. The record is from RNAcentral.